Molecule: long non-coding RNA, 56232 nt
Filed under: Vitis vinifera (wine grape)
Lineage: Eukaryota; Viridiplantae; Streptophyta; Magnoliopsida; Vitales; Vitaceae
Description: long non-coding RNA (VVIN_LNC006965)
Source: RNAcentral
UAUAUAUAUAGAGGUGUGUGUGCUUUUGGAGGGGGACCACUCUCUCUUUUGUUCUCUUUGAAGAACACUCCCGGCCACACACGCACACACCCCACUUUGGACUAAAUUUUGGGGAUUAAAGGGAAGAGCUCAUUGAUCGUUCAUCCUCGGAGCAUCACGCACCCGGAAAGCAGAUUAUUGGACAUCAAAGGUAGCAGAAAUGGCUUCCCAAAGCACGAACCAAGGUAACGGAUUGAAUUUUGCUGUUAAAUGCAUGCUUAAUUUGUCAACAUGUGAUCCUAUGAAAUUUAAAUUCUCAUCAAUUGGUAUCAGAGCCAACAUGGAUGACAUUUGAGCUGCAAUUUUGGGUUAAUUUUUAGGUUUCCCGUUUCCUGUGGUGGAAGCCAUUUUUUUUGGAUUUUUAUUUCUCGUUUGAUGUUGAUUCUCUGUUUUCAAGCCCGAUUGUUGUUGGAAACUUGUAGAGAAUGUUGUUUGGAGCAAAACCCAUCAAAUUUUGUGAUUUUUGGAGCUCAUUUGAUGAUAUUUCGAAAAUUAGGGCUUGUUUGGUUCUUGCUAUUAUGCGGUUUUUUGUGCAAUUUUUGGGUUUGGAUUGAAGGUUUGAUGUUUUAGGAUGGAAAUCUAUGUAUUUUUGACGAAAAAUGCGUGAAAUUUUGGGCGGAAAAAUUUUUUUUUUCUUCUCCAGAACCAGGUCGUGCUCAGCUGGAGAAGAAGAUGAAUAGUGACGUGAUGACGUCAUCAUGACGUCAUAAAAAAAAAAAAAAAACCAAAUUUUUUUUUUUUUUUUUUUGUUGCCUUGGUAUUCUUGGAUUGAUUGUGCAUAUGCUAGAAUUAUUAUGCAUUUGUUAAAUUUGCCUUCAUUGGGACAAUUAUUAUUAUUAUUGUUCUUUAUGGUAUAAGUUUUCCUUAUAUUAAUAAUGUUGUCCUAUGUCAAUUUUGUUAAAUAUUUCAAUUUAUUGAGGCAAUGAAGCACACUUGUGUGAUUGCCUAUAGCAAUUCCAAGUGUGUCAAAUUGUGAAAAUUAAGAUAUUUUGAAUUUUAUUCAUGACAAUAGUGAACAUAUGUGUGGUUGCCUAUCGUGAUCCUAUAUGUGUCAAAUUGUCUUUGUUGAGAUAUUUUAUCUCCCUCUUUUGAUUGUUUUAUUAUUGUGAUAACUAAGGUCCAUACGGGUAUUGUGAUUGUCCUAUCGAUGAUUAUAAUAUUUGGUAGGAUGCUUGGAUUGGUGAAGGAAAUUAAUUUUAUAUUAUGAAUCGUACUAAUUUUCUUUGCCCUUUCGGUAAUAAAAUUAGUGCAUCUUGGUUGUGAUAUUUAAUUGGUUGUCCUUACCGCCGUGGAAUUUUCAAAAUUCCAAGCUGUUGCUAAAUUGAGAAAUUCUGGAAACUAGCAAAUGCAUGAUUUUGUAGUAACAUGCAUAUUGCUUAAUUUUGCUAUUUUCCAGUUACUAGCAAUCCUGGUAUUACUCUGCAACUGUCUGCCAUCAAACCUCUUACUGGAAUAAUUUUGAGGAAUGUUUUGAGUCUUUCAAUGUGCAUAUGACUAUGCACAUUUUGGACUGGGCUUUGAGAGUUGAUAAGCCAAGUAAAUUUGAGUUCUUCCAUAUUGUGGCACAAUCGCCUAGGUCAUAUUUCUAGGCAAAGAUUAGAGAGAUUGGUUAGAGAUGGAUAUGGUGAGGUGCAUGUUGUCUAGUUCCUCCUUACCAGAAUUUCUGUGGGGUGAAGCCUUAAGGACUGCGGCAUAUAUUUUGAAUAAAGUGCCCAGUAAGUCUGUGCCUAAGACACCUUAUGUGCCAUGCGCAGCGGAAGCGUUGGUCAGGCCCUAUAACCCACAGUCAAAGAAACUUGAUCCUAAAACCAUCAGUGGUUUCUUUGUUGGUUAUUGCAUUGGAUCAAGGGGUUCCAGAUUUUAUUGUCCAUCUCAUACCACCAGGAUCAUUGAGUUAGACAGGGUUGUAUAUUUUGAAGAUGUGAGCUCUGUUGAUGAGAGAUCUAGUGGUAUCUGAAGUUUGAUAGUAUUAUCACCCAAAAUGGUUUUAAAGAAAAUACAGUUGACAGAUGCAUAUAUUUGAGGGUCAGUGGGAGUAGUUACAUAUUUCUUGUUUUAUAUGUUGAUGAUAUACUACUCGCAUCAAAUGAUCCUGACUUGUUGAUUGAGACAAAGCACAUGUUGUCAACCCAUUUUGACAUGAAGGAUCUUGGUGAGGCUUCUUAUGUCUUGGACAUAAAGAUUCUUCGUGAUAGGGCUAAUGGAGUGCUUAAAUUGUCUCAAAGAGCCUAUAUUGAAAAGAUAUUGAAGAGGUUCAAUAUGCACAACUGUAAAUCUACUAAAGCGCCAAUUGUGAAGGGUGAUAAAUUUUCAAAGGCUCAGUGUCCUCAAAAUGAUGAUGAGAAAGAGGAAAUGAAGACCAUUCCUUAUUCAUCUGUGGUGGGCAGCCUUAUGUAUGCUCAAGUAUGUACACGCCCUGAUAUUGCUUUUGUUGUGGGCAUGUUGGGAAGGUACUUGAGCAAUCCUGGGAGUCAACAUUGAAAAGCAGCUAAGAAGGUCCUUAGGUAUUUGCAAGGAACUAAGGACUUAAUGUUGACAUAUCAGCGCACCAGCUUACUUGAUGUAGUUGGGUUUUGUGAUGCUGAUUUUGCUGGCUGCAUAGAUGAUAAGAAAUCCACUACGGGCUAUAUUUUUAUGAUGGCAGGAGGAGCUGUAUCUUGGAAAAGUGUCAAGCAGACACUUACAGCAUCCUCAACUAUGGAGGCAGAGUAUGUGGCAUGUUAUGAGGCUUGUUGUCAUGCUAUGUGGAUGCGAAAUUUUAUUUCAGCUUUAGGAGUUGUUGACUCCAUUUCUAGACCGCUGAAAUUAUUUUGUGAUAAUUCCGCAGCUGUUGCUUUCUCCAAGAACACCAGGAGUAUUUCUCUCUCCAAACAUAUUGAUGUAAAGUUCUAUUUUGUUAAGGAGAAAGUGGCAGAGUCUCUUAUUGAUAUUGAACACAUGUCCACAAAAAGUAUGUUGGCGGAUCCAUUAACAAAAGGCUUACCCAUAAUUGUGUUUCAGGAACAUGUAUCUCAAAUGGGGUUGUUGGAAGCCUAGGUUGUAUUAAGUUAGUGGGAGCCAUUUUUUGGUAUUGUAAUACUAUGUUAUUGUUGAAAGGAUUGCUAUUAUUGUACAUUUCCCUAUGAAUCAAGCAAUGAAGCAUAUAUGAUUGCUUUUGAUUAUUUAUUUCUGAUGAGAUUCUAUGGGACAUUGAUUUAUGAUUAUGUGUAUGUUGUAAUGUUUGAUUAUGUAGUCCAAGUGGGAGAUUGUUGGAAUUUUUAUGUGUGGACUUACAUAAUUAAUUUGAUAAUAUCAUAAAUCAGUGUUAAUUUAUGUUUUUGCAUUGUGGUCCAUAAUGGGACUGGACACAAAUUAUUGCUUGAUUUUUUAUGGGCUCACCCUAAUUCACUUGACUGGCCCAUUAAGUCAAGUCGUCCAACUAAAGUGUGUAAUGUGCAAUAUAUAUAUAUAUAUAUAUAUAUAUAUAUAUAUAUAUAUAUGUAUGUAUUUAUUUGUAUAUAUAUAUAUAGAGGUGUGUGUGCUUUUGGAGGGGGACCACUCUCUCUUUUGUUCUCUUUGAAGAACACUCCCGGCCACACACGCACACACCCCACUUUGGACUGAAUUUUGGGGAUUAAAGGGAAGAGCUCAUUGAUCGUUCAUCCUCGGAGCAUCACGCACCCGGAAAGCAGAUUAUUGGACAUCAAAGGUAGCAGAAAUGGCUUCCCAAAGCACGAACCAAGGUAACGGAUUGAAUUUUGCUGUUAAAUGCAUGCUUAAUUUGUCAACAUGUGAUCCUAUGAAAUUUAAAUUCUCAUCAAUCUAAUAACAAGAGCUAAUCCAAUGGAUUGCAACGCUUCCUUAAUCCUCUUACUUGUAAGUUUUCACUUAAAAGAUCUUUACAUUCUUUAUUACUUUCUUGGAAUUUUAAGGUUAUAUUUAGAAAGUGUUUUUAAAAACACUAUUGUAAAACUGUUUUAAGAAAUUAUUCUUAAAUGUUUUGUAGAAUUGAGAAUUUGAAAUAUUUUUAAUUUGUUUUCUAUAUUUUUGAAUAUGUUUUAAAAAUAACUUUUAUUUAUAGUGUUUUUUAUUAUUAUUUUUCAUAAUUGUAUAAUUAUUUUUAAAAAUAAAUGAAAAUAAUUAAAAAAAUAUUUUCUCUCAAUCGUAUAAAUAUUAUCCAUUUUACACCUAAAUAAGCUUUAUCGACUUUGAAACACAUAUACAAAGUUAAGAAGAACUUAUAUUUAUAUAAUUUCAAGAAUUUUAUCUCACAUCGAAUAAGGGAGAAAAUUUUAAAGACUAUAUAAGUAUGAACUCUUCUUUAACUUUGUAAAUAUAUUUUGAAGUCGUAACCUAAAACGGAUAAUAUUUAAAAUAACAUUUUUUUUGUACUUCUAUAGUGACCUAUUUUUAAGUCAACUCUUUUAACACACUAAGGAAAGGAUUGUGAUUAAUAAUAUUUAAUAUUUAAUAAUUUAAGAUAAUUUUAAGUUAAAUUGUACUUGACUCAGUAAACUAAUUCAUCAAAUUUACUUUUAAUCUUAGGGUAUAAUAUUAAGUUAUUCUAUUAACAAUACUUAACACAUUUGAAACAAUUUUGUAUUUUUAGGUUUUGCUAGAAGGCAAAACUAAACCGAUAUAAAAUUUUUCAAAUGAUACUAUUAUAUUAUAAAAGUUUUAUUAAAUAUAAAAAAUUUUCCCAAAAAAAGUCAAAAUAAAACUUUUACAAGAAGUAACAUUGUUCUAAUUUUUGUUUUAAAUUCUUUUCAAGCCUUAAAUUCUUUAAACAAAAUUAGUCAUACAAACAUAAAAAAAAAUUAUUGACUUAAAUUAACAAGGCUUAGCUUCUUAAAAAGGUCUUAACUUUUUAAAUUAACAUAAAAAUUCUUUCAAAGGUCUUAACUUCUUAAAAAUCAACACAAACAAGGCUUUAAUUUACCUAGUAACUUAAAUUAAGUCAUUAAAUCAAUAACCUUUUAUUAAACUUAAAGGGUCUAAAUACACUUUACCCCUCAAUUUUUAGGGUCUUUUACACUUUACCCUCUUAUAUUCAAAACCCAACACUCCCCCCCCCCCCCCCCCCCCCCAAAAAUUAAAANNNNNNNNNNNNNNNNNNNNNNNNNNNNNNNNNNNNNNNNNNNNNNNNNNNNNNNNNNNNNNNNNNNNNNNNNNNNNNNNNNNNNNNNNNNNNNNNNNNNAAAAAAUUUUUGACUUAAAUUAAAAAGGGGUUGGCUUCUAAAAAAGGUCUAAAUUUUUAAAAUAAAAAAAAAAUUUUUUAAAAAGGUUUAAAUUUUUAAAAAACAAACAAAAAAAGGGUUUUAUUUUCCCGGGAAAUUAAAUUUAGGCCUUAAAUCCAAAACCUUUUUUUAAAAUUAAAAGGGUUAAAAACCCUUUCCCCCCCAAUUUUUUGGGUUUUUUAACAUUUUCCCUUUUUUUUUAAAAAACCAAACCCCCCCCCCCCCCCCCCCCCCCCCAAAUAGUUAAAAAUCAAUAUUUUAUCCCCAAUUACAAACUUUCCAUAAAAUUAUAAAAGGGAUUAGUUUAGCCAAGUGGGUUGAUACUCAUGAGGAAAAGGAGACAAGUUGCUUGGUCAAAAUAUACAAACAAUAUAGUAAAAUUGUUGCAUGUUUUCCAAUAAUUAUAGAAGCAUCAAUGUUAUAUAGGAACAAUAUAAAUGCUAUUGCACAUUUUUAUGAGGCAGCCUAGUAACUUGGACAAGUAAGAAGAAAUUUGUUGUUGCAAGAAGUAGUGUUGAGGUAUAUUUUAGAUCUUUAACACAAGGGACAUGUGAGCUCAUGUUGUUGCGAAGGUUGAAGAACGAAUUGAAACUACAAAGUGAGAAUCCAAUGUUGUUAUAUUUUGUCAAGAGAUUAACAAUUAACAUUCCUCACAACCCAACUCAUCAUGAUCAAACAAAACACAUUGAAGUUUAUUGACAUUUUAUCAAGGAGAAGUUAGAAGAAAGAUUAAUCUUUCUCUCAUAAAGGGACUUCCUUAAGUGAACAUUGAAUGCUUGAUCACCAAACUAGGCAUGAUUAAUAUCCGUGCACCAACUUGAAGGGAAGUGUUAAAGAAUUUGAAUCCUUAUGGAGAUAAAAUCCGUCUUUUGAAGAAUUAGCCGGUAGUUCAUUUGUAAUUAAAACUACAAUAAAUUAUUUGAAUAGAAUUUGUCAGAUAGUUUCCCAUUUCUUUCUACUUUCUUUACUUUGGUAGGUUCUCUAAUUGUAUAGAGGACUUUUUCUCUUCUUUACCAUACAAAUGAAUAUACAAGUAAAAUUAAUCUAUCGAUUUUUUCAAUUGGUGAAGAAAUUUUUUCUUUCUACUUUAACAUCCAUUUUUGUGAAACUCAUUUUAAUGUAGACUCUUUUCUUUAGAAUUUUUUCUAUUGUAUUUUGUAAAAUAUUUUUUUUUAAAAAAAUUAUACUUUAUUACCUCACAUUAUGUAUAAAAUUUUUUAGUUAAUUAAUUUUAUUUUUAUAAUUAAAAUUUUGAAGUUAAACCGAGUGUUAUAUAAAUGUUUCAUGUUAGUUUAUCUUUAAUGGAAGGUAAUUAACUAUUUAGAAAAGUUUUAAUAUUUAUAUUUGGAAAUAAAUUAUUGUUUCAUUGAUGUAGAAUAAAAUAAUAAUAUUUUUUUAUAGUUUCAUGUAACAAAACUAAAAAAAAAAAAUCUAUUUUAGUUUAUUUAUUAAAAUUAUAUUAAAUAAAAUUUAAAUUUUAAUUAAUUUAUAUUGAAAUUGAAUUUCUUUCAAAACAAAGUUAUGCAUUUUUAGUUAUCUAUUAUAACAAAAUUAAAAUUUCAAAUAAACUCUACUUAAUUCAUUUAUAAAAACUAAUUUUAAAUAAAUUCUAAUUAAUUCAUUUAUAAAAAUUAAUUUUUUAUUAUUAAAGUUAUGUAAUACAUUAUUUAACUAUAUAUGUUCUAUAAUAUUUUAUUUCUUUUUCUAUUGCAAUCUUUUACUCUAAUUUAUUUUCCUUGAUUUUGUUAUUAGAUAAUACUAAAAAGAAAAUACUAUAUUUAUUAUUGAAAAAUUUGAGGAAAAUAAAUUAGAAAAAAGAAAAGAAAAGAAAAGAAAUUGGUGAAUAAAACUUUCUUAAUUGAAAUUGUUGAAAAUUUUGAGAUGAAUAAAAUUAAAUUAUUAAUAAAAACAAUUUCCCAAAAAUAUCAAGAAAAUUAUUUUCAAAUUUGUAAUUUUAAAAUUAAAAUUUUUUAACACUUGAGUUUCAGCACCACCACGAACUGAAAUGUCACUAAUAAUAACAAAUUUAUUAUUUAGAAGUAAUUUUUUUUUUCAAAUAUUAAAUUAUUGAUGUUUUAGGGAUUUGUGAGACUUUCCAUAGUAGAUUUUGAGUAAAAUUUUUUUUUGAAAUGAUUAUAAGUAGAAAAUUAAAAUUUUGGAUGAUUGUAAAAAGUAAAUUUCUAAUACUAAAAAAAUUUAUUAUUCAAAUGAGAAAAAAAUUAUUUUUAAAUAUUAAAUUAUUAAUAUUUUACGAAUUUGAUUUCUAAUAAAUUAAAAUUUUAUAUAAUUAUGAAUGAAUAAAAAUAUAUUAAAAUAAUAAUUUUAAAAUUUUGUUUGAUAGUGAUUUUAGUAAAUAUUUAAAAUUUUUUUAAUAUAUAAAAAGAUUAAAAGUUUUAAGUGUUCCAAAAAUUAGAAAUAUUUUCUAAAAAUAUUUUGUUUUUAUUUUUAAUUCUGUGAAAAUAAAAAAAUAAGCACCGUUUAUCGUUAUGUCGUCCAAUUUCUUAAUUAUCAUCACUUUCAUUGUGAGUUAUGACAGCAAAAACACUGCACACUAUUAGGGUUUAUGCUCUGAUGCUUUCUUUCCCACUUUUUGUCCUUAGGGGCUAGGUUUAGGGUUAGGGUUUUGGAUUUCUCAUCCUCGAUCUUCUGCGUAUCUACAUCUUCGCUGCUUUGACCUCUUUUGGAAACAAUGAUGUACGGUGAUCCUCAACAGCAGAUGCAGCAGCAGCAGCAGAUGCAGCAGCAGCAGCAGAUGCAUCAGCAACAGCAGAUGCAUCAGCAGCAACAGCAGAUACACCAGCAACAGCAGAUGCAGCAGCAGCAGCAAGGCGGAGACUUUCACAGGGGCCCACUGCCCCCACCACCGUCUCAACCACAACCACCGCAAUCGCAACUGCCACCUCCUCCGCCGAUGAUGCGCCAGCCCUCGGCUUCUUCCACCAAUCUCGCCCCCGAGUAUCACCAUCCAUCCGCUCCUCCUUAUGACGGUAUGGUUUUUCACAUUGUUCAUGUUUCUGCUGUUUUCUUGGUUCGGUUUGCUGAGAAUGUCGAGGAAAUUAGUAGAAAAAUUGCACUUUGGGUGUUCCAUUUUUAUCUCUACUUUCCGCGGUGUAAAGAAAAUUUUGAAUUGUACUCGAAUUUUUGACAAAAUAUGAAUGACAUAUGUGUCUGAUAUUCCGAAUUAUUUUGGAUAAUUAUGGACUGAGAACACUGCUUUCUUACUUUUCCCCCUCUUUCUCUGGAUAUCUAUUUCUUUUAUUACUUUUAAUUUCCUGGUGUUAUUUUCUUGAAUGACUCCUGAAUCAAGAUUUGUUCUGCAGCAGGUGAGUUCUGAAUCUAAAUUUGUGACUGAGCUACUCCUAGUGGUUGUAUUAGACAAUGAGUCAAAGUAGCUUUUGUUUUCUUAGGCAUUUUGAUAUUCUUCGUGGGGAAACAAAAAUUUUCAAAUUAUUCCCUCUUGAUUUUUUUUAAGCGAACCAGAAAAGAUGGAAUAUAUAUUGUAGGCUUCAUUAAUUUGUAAUAGGCCAAAUUACUCUGAACGAUUGAAUGAAAAGACAGGUUUUAUGAACUUAAACUACAUCACUUUUUCUACUUCCAAACUCACUUCAGAAUUUGUCUGUUUUUCUCCAUAGAUUUUCCAUAAUUUUCAUCUAAGUGUUUGUCUUAUUUUUCAUAAUAAUUUCCAGAAAUCAGUCCUCUGCUGAAUUAUUGUGAAUCCUAAAUUACUUACUGUGCUUCAAAGUGCAUAUCCUUGUGGAGUUGAGCAAGUGUGGUCUUUGUUCUUGCUUCUUAGAAACUACUAAAAUUUUACGGCACUCAAGCAUGCAAGUUUUAGAAUGGUUAAGUUGCCAUUACUUUUCCUUCUUGUUUUGGAUUGGUCAAGUUUUGCUAAUGUUUCUUUCAUUUAUAAAUGGUUAGUACAGCUCAUGCCGAUAGUUUUGCUGCAAAAAGAAUGAGAAAGCUGGCCCAAAGAAGAGCAGUUGAUUAUACUAGCACUGUUGUACGAUACAUGCAGGUAACUGUUUCUACCCUUUUGGACUUAUGUCACUAGUCUUUCUUCAAAUAUAUAUUCAAUCAUUUUUUUUUUUCUGAUAUUGUGGUAAGAAACAAGAUAUUUCUUGAAAUUGCUACAAUUUCAUAUUGGAUAUGUCUUUCAUCUGUAAGGUUCAUGGAGUGCCCCUUUACCUGAUAUUGGCUUCAUUGUUGUUGGAAGAAAAUGAAACAGAAAAUGGACCAGAAUUUUUCUUUCUUUUUCAUUCUUUGUUUGUUUGUAGCACAUAAAUUGUACCUUGCAAUUCUACUUUAUCUAGAUGCAUUUUGAACUUCACUGAUGUGGCUUUCUGUGGAUAAUUCCUUUUACAUCAUUCUGCCUUUUCAGAAUCUUUAGUUUGCACCAAGCACUUCCCAUGGGUGUUGUUGUUGGUCCAUAAGUGAAACAUGCUCCUGCCAUCUUGCUAAUUCUGCUUUCUUAUUACCUACCAUGCUAGACUCUUUGAUGUGCAAAUCCAUUGGCAUGACUAGAGCUUUGAGUUGUUCCUUCUCUUGGAUACCCUGUGUAGCUAGUCAGACUGCAGAUGGUUUGGCCUUCCUUUUUAGGUGCCUUUAUUAAUCCUUAUUUUGCCCAUUAAAAAAACAAAAGAAUUCCUUUGUCAUCAUUAUGUUUUGAUACGGUCCAUGUUUCGGAAGGAUGGGUCAUUCUCCCAUGUUGUUGGAUUGUUUGUUUCUGAUUAGAAAAGGUUUUGAAACAGCGAUCAUCAAACAUGAAACUGCCAUAAUAUCUCAAUUGACCAUGGUUGCUAGGGAUGAUGUUAUUAGCUUGUGUCCAAGAUUACUCUGUAUAAUAUUUUUCUUAUUGAGGCAAUGGAGUGUUAGUGCUAUUAUGGUUGAUAGGGGCAAGGUGUAAGUCUUGAGGCGGAAUGGGGUGUAAGCCUCAAUUAAAGGAAAAAACCUUUAAAAAAUUAAAUUCACAUAAAAAUAGAGAAUAAGAAAACCAUUAAAUUCAAGAAAACUCAUUGUUUUUCAUAAAAGUUUCCAAUUUAGUUCAUCUUUCCCUCUUCCAAAAUGCAACUCUGUCUCAUGAGUCAUGGUUUGACGAAAUUACUCAUCACUCCUGAGCAUCACCAUCAUUAACACUAGUGGGAUCAUGUAAGGAAUCUUUAUUAUAUCUAAUUGAUUUAUCAUCCUCUCUAUCAAUAUCAAUUUCCACCCAUGUUUCUUUUCAUCCACCAAUUGCAGCAUCAUAGGUUUAAGCUUUAAGCAAAGCAGUGGCUAUAAGGAGGCAUCAUUGCGAUUCUAGCUGUGAUUCUGAAGACUCUUGCAGCAAAGUAGUUCUCCUCUGGAAGUAAGAACCCAGCACCCAGGACCCAGGACCCAACAGCCAAGAAGUCUUCUCUUCUCCUUCUAAAUAUCUUUCCUUUCCCCCUCUUAUUUUUUUAUUAUUUAAAAUCAACCUAAGAAAUUGAUCUAAGACCCAGAAAUUUACCCAAGAUCUAAGCCCAUGACUCAAAACUUACAAAAUAGAAUAAAAAAGCCUAAAAACAUUAAAAAUCCAUUGGAUAUGGAGGCCCAAGAAGAACAAAUACUCAUAAAAGUGCCAUCAUAUCUGAGGCUUAAGCCUCAAGGUUGUGUGCCUUGGUAGGGUGAGGCUUAAUCCUCAACUACAGACUUAAGUCUCACCAUUAUUUCUUAAUGCUUCCUCAAGGCAUAAAAUCCUUUUAAAACACCAUGGGCAACUUAACUGGCACAUGAGUGGUCCUAGGCUCAUCUAAUAGGCUAGUAUAGCUAGUAUUGUAUUAUAUUGUAGGCUACCAUCGAUGGUACUUCAUCAUAUUUUAGCUUUAUGCUUUCUGUUGUUUCAUUUAUUACAGUGUUGGCAAGCAUGUGGGAAGGUGAUUGGAGGCACUUGCAUGCAUUGAGAACAUUUUUUUUUUUAAAAAAAAAAAAAAAUUAGAAAGAAGCUAUUCAUUGAUAUGGAUUUUGAAAACAAGCAAAGGAUGAGAAAUCCUUCCAAGAAUACGAAGGGUCCAAUAACAAGGAAAUACUUGGCAGGAGUGACAAUGUAGCUACAUUGAAGGAUGAGACAAUAAAAUGCAUUGAGAAUUUGUAAAGCAAUUGGAAGAUGGUGAGGAAGAAAAUCAUGAUUGGGAUGAUUUUCAUUUUUUCUAUUUCUCUAGGGCUAAGUUUUUGCAGCCUAGCCCACGUACACAGGGAGUAUAGGGGUGGUAGUAUCAUCCUUAUAUUUAUGAGUCUCAGCUCUGUUGAAUUCUUUCUUUUUGCAUGUGGUGGCUCUUUUGUUUUUGUCUUAUAAGCGUGGCACUGUUUUACCUCUGUAUAAAUUUAAUUUACGUUGUUUGUGCUUGGGGUUUGGCCCUUCUUUUUCUUUAUUACUUUAUCAUUUCUUAUGUGUUGCAAAGAGAAGGAAAAGUGACUGAUUCUGAAAAUUUGAAAUAUAUGACCUGUGAAUUCCUGAAUAUUUGUAGUCAGAUCACCAUUAAUAAGUAAAGACAUUGUUCUGGUUUCCUAGUGAAGGCAAGCAUCAAAUAUUGGAAUCCUUAAAUCAACUUUUUUCAUAGAUAGAUAGGAGAAAUAUCUGGACGGUCACAUGCCAAAGAAAACAGCAAAGAUGAAGAGCCCUACAUAAUGGAUUAAGUGAGAAAAGAAAAUCAAAAUUCUUUUGCCCAAAAAACAAAAAUAAAUAAAUAAAUAAAAUCUACAUGGGAAAGCCUCUGGUCUACAGAAAAAAAAAGGUCCAAAUGAAAGUUAUCCUUCAGCUACAAGAUUGGAUUUUCUUCCUCCUGACAGAUUCCUCUGCCAGUUUCUUCCAACACUAUGGAAACAAACAUUAGCAUUGUCUUCCUUAAAAAAUGGAGGCACCCACUGAACAGAAAAAGUGAAGACAGUAAGGUCCAAAGUUCUCCAGCUUCCCAACAGUUGAUAAGAUCGUGGUUUGUUGACUGCUGACUUUUUUUGUGCAAGCACCACCAAUGAAUCAUGUGAAACCUUGCUGCAUCAAGUGGUUAAUGGUGAGGACUUCCCUGAGCUACCUCCAUGCAUAAAAUUCCACUAUGGAGGGAACCACUGGCACCCAUACCUCGUAAGCUGGGGACUUUCUGCUGCCCCUUCUGCUUGAUUCCAGAAACAGUGACUUAAAAGUGAAUCUUUCAUCCCUACCAAGUCUUCAUCUGAUUGUAUCUUCUUUGUUUCCGAGUAUUGCUUGUCAUAGAGUAUACCCAUAAGCUUCACCAAUGCCUCUAAUUAUUACUCUUGUGAGAUUGAAAUAAAAGCAUGGAACCUAUAAAUAUCAGUCAUAGACCUAGCCAAAUCCCAUGUGAUCUCCACAAAGGCAUCGAAGUCAGAUGAUUUGCUAAAAAAGCUUGGAAAUGACCCUUUAAGGAGAACCCCUAACCAAAUUCCCAGUUGGACUGGUCUCUCACCUCCUUGGAGCACUAAUUGCCCACCUCCACCUUGAACUUGCCUAUUACAACCUCUUUCCAAAAGCUCUUCCCCUCUCUUGCAAACCCUAUGAAUCUCAAAAAGUUACUAUCCUAAAAGAAAAAAAAAAAAAAUCUUGUUGUAUAGCGGAGGUUUUUAGUAUUUAGAUCAGGUUUGUAUUUUUGUGGGAAGGAUUCCUCAUCCUUCUCAUGAACUCUUUUAUAUGUAAUUAAUUCAUCUCUUGUUUCUGAUAAAAAGAAAAAAAGAAGAAAAAAAAUUAAAAGCUACGGGUAAUAAUUCUGAUUCAGCUUUAAGACAAGCAUAUAUAUAUAUAUAUAUAUAUAAUUAUUAUUGUUUUUGCUUUUUUUUAAUUAUAACUAAAGAGCCACUUGGAAGGAGACCAUUGAGCAUUGACACUUCCACAAUGGCUUAGAUGCAGAUUUUGGAGCAAAUUUAUCUCAAAGAGAUUCAUAAACAGGGUUGCAGUGGUAACUAUUGGUACAUCUUUAAAUAACUCAAUCCUACAAUCCAUGAUCACCAUUGACAUUCUAUAUAUUAAUAAAUUGAUUUUCAUUCAGUCUGAUUAAGUCUAUCAUAUUUGGUGAUCAUGUUUCAUCAGUCAUUAAUUUUUAUGGAUUUUGGUGGUAGUAUUUUCAUCAGUCAAGGUUUUAUGGAUACUCUUUCCCUGUCUUAUUGAGUUUCUUACAAUAUACAUACAUAUAUACAUAUAUAUAUAUAUAUAUAUAUAUAUAUAUAUAUAUAUAUAUAUAUUUAGAAACAAACAAAUGUAUUAAAUUAAGGAUAGAGAAAUACAAAAGAAGGUUGAGGAAUUCUCCCAAAAUACAACAAACUAAUAAAAAAGUAUGCUGAAGCAUCCAAAGUACUAAGUAAACCUAUACAACGAUAAUGUACCACAAGGGAACUUAUAAGAAAAAAAGUAAAGCACCACAAGGGAAUAUACAAAAAACAACUCAUAGCUCUAGUAUUUGACUAGUAUAGUUUCUUACUAUAUUUUUGACCCCUACAAUUUAAUUUCUUUGCCAUCGAAAGAAAAUCAUGCACUGGUCCUUACUUUGGUCUCUUUUCAUUUUCAGGUGCAUCCAUGUUUCGUUUGAAGCUUGUCUUCACCUGUCCUGUUUUCUUUUAAAGUUUCUAUUGGAGUUUGAAUAACUUGUAGUGUUUGUUUAAUAUUUUCUGCAGAUUCGCAUGUGGCAACGAGAUUCAAGGGACAGGACAGUAUUGCAACCUACCCCAGCUGCAGCAAUUGAUGUUAGUUCAUACAUUUUACGCAUAUUCCAUCUUUGCUUCUGAUGUUGACAUGGUGGAAGAUGGAAGUAGUUUAAUUUUUAUGAUGUAUUGUUUUCUCAUGUGUUCCGUUUAUGAUCUGAGCUGCAUUGAUUCGAAGAUGGAAGUAGUUUAAUUUUUAUGAUGUAUUGUGAUCUCGUGUGUUCCAUUUAUGAUCUGAGCUGCAUUGAUUCGAAGAUGGAAGUAGUUUAAUUUUUAUGAUGUAUUGUUUUCUCGUGUGUUCCGUUUAUGAUCUGAGCUGCAUUGAUUCAUUUCCUGGAUCUUUUGCAUCUUCUGCCUAAAAAAAACAGAACUUUCAUGUAUUGAAAUUCAAGAUUUGGGGCUGCUUGAUAUCACAAUCCAAUUCUGAACACAGAAAUUUUCCAUAAUAAUCAGGGUAAUUACAUUUUCACUGAAAGGGUUGAAAAAUUCAAUUUGAGACUGCUAACUUGUUUCUGAAAAUUGAACUCUCUUCCUUUCUAUGAUUCUGAAUUAUAAAAUCUAAGUUGUCUUUGCCUAAGUUUAUGAGCCAAAUGACAAACUGACCCUUUCAACAGCUUGAAGUCGUCACUCUCACAAAGUUAUAGCUAAAGAAUUUAGUACCAAACUUUCAGUUUAUCAGAAAAAGGGUGUUUGGUAAACCGAAUUAAUUGCUUAAUGAAUUAAUUUAUGUCAUUAACCAAAUCAAUAUAUUUGAUAAAAUAACUUAAUAUUGCAACUUAAGGUUAAAAAUGACUUAAAAGUAAUAAGUUAAAAUAGAUAAUUUUUUCUAAAUCCUAAUUGUCAUUUGUCUUACUAGUUCAUGUUUUUUUCUUCCAUGUUUCUCUCAUAAACUCAUAACUUAAUAUCAGUGAGGAUAGUCAUGUCAAUUUAAUAGUUUAGAAAAACCUUGAAGUGUUUUUUUCCAACCAACUUUAACGCUUCCAAAAAAAAAAAAAAGAGGUAAAUGAUGAAUUAUAGGUUGAUAAUUUGAGUAUAAUUUAACUUAAAAUCAUUUUAAGUUACUAAACAUUAAGUGUUAAGUUUUACCAAACACCACCGUAUUAUCUUACCUCAAUAUGCUAAUUACUUGUUUCGCAGUGAAAUGUUUGUCAUCAGUAUGAUUUUCUUUCUGGUGUUGCCUUAAAUGUUUCUUUUGUGUUUUUGUUGGUGCAGUUGUUGCCAGCAGUUGCUUAUUCAGAUAAUCCAUCCACAAGUUUUGCUGCAAAGUUUGUUCAUACAUCUUUAAACAAAAAUCGUUGUUCAAUUAAUCGAGUUCUGGUGAGUUCAUUGGAAUUUGAUGUUCUUGAAUAUGUAUGUUGCUUAAUUUUUCUUCUCUUAUUUGAGAUGUUAUCCAUAUCCUGUUUACUUCAUUUGAGGUAUUUUGUUGUGGCAUUUUGUAAUUAUUUAUGUUCCUGUUUGCAGGUUCAAGUUAAAAUAUUUUGAUCCUUCUAAGCAAGAAAUAUAUAUUUUUAAUUCUGAUGCCACUUAAUUUGCAGGAUUUUUUAAUUCUAAUUGCCCGUCAAUGCUAGGAUUCAAUCCAUAGCCCAUGUUUAUAUGGUUGAAACAAAAAAUCUGGAAGAGUGUGAGUUAGAUGUUAGAAUUCAUCCAAACAAGUUAACUUUUGACACAUGCUUUCUGGACUCAGAUCAAUUACAUGGUGGGCCAAUGACAAAGGUCUAUAAGACAUCUAAUAAAAUAAAGGGUCUAUAAGCAAUCAGACUGUUAAAAUUCAUGCAAUCAAACUUAUUUUUGGCACUGACCAAAAAAGAUUCAUCUAAUACUGGGUCUUCAUGAAUGUAUGCUUGCACUGUGUGCCUUUGGCAGUUAUUGGAAUCGUCUUUUCCCUUGUGAGGUUUUGAUGAGUCACAGUUUUAAUUUGAAAUUGAGUGGUUAGGUAGCAGUGUGAGGAGAGGAGACAAAGGAAAGGGAUUAUCUUUGAAAUUGACCAGUUAGAUAGGGAUUUGAUGGGGUGGAACCAAAGACAAUGGUUUUUUUGGCUUAAUGCUUGUUAGUGUGUUGAUUUGAUAAUAUCAUCAUGCAGACGACCUUUAGAAAUUGGUUGUAUAAUAUAUUCAAUUGGGCCCAGAUUCUCUGUUUUAGUUAGAUACUCAGAUGGAUUAGAUUUAUAAUGGAAUUCUUUUUUUUUUCUUUUCUUUUUCUUUUUUGGGUUUCUAUUAAGUAAAUGUUUGGUUUUCAUUCUCUUUUGUCAAAUGGUUUUUAGUUAGUGUGGAAUAAUUUAAGCAAACUGAUAUUUUGUUUUAAAAUUUUUUAUUGUUAUGUCACUGAAUUAGUAUGUACUGAAGUGUUAUCCUUUCAAUGCAUUCUGACCCUUGCUUUCUGUCACAGUGGACUCCUACUGGGAGACGUCUUAUCACAGGCUCGCAAAGUGGGGAAUUUACUCUUUGGAACGGACAGUCAUUUAAUUUUGAAAUGAUUCUUCAGGUAUGCCGUUGUAUAAGUAAACUUUCCAUUUCUAGUUAGCAAAGAAAUUGAUUUUCCUUCUGGGGUGUUUGGUGUUGGGUAGGGUUGGUUUUCCUUGUUCUCUGUGUUUCUGCCUUGGCACAUUUUGUAUGCUAUGUGUGUACACUGUUGCAUCCUUUCCUAGGGCUUUUAAUAUAUUCUUGCUUUUUACCUAUCAAAAGAAAAAAAAGAAAAAAAAAAGAAGCGAAAUUAAUAUAGUUUGCAAUGUUUCUUAAAUGUAGGCUCAUGAUCAAGCAAUCAGGUCUAUGGUAUGGAGUCAUAAUGAGAACUGGAUGGUUACUGGUGAUGAUGGGGGCUCAAUAAAGUAAGCAUCUAUCUUAUGCAGCCACUUUGGUUCAAUAUUCUUUUUCAAAAUUCCAUUGAGUGAAAAUUUUUUUUGUUUGAUGUGCUCAUGCUUACGGGGGAUGCUUAUUAGGUAUUGGCAAAACAACAUGAAUAAUGUAAAGGCGAAUAAAUCUGCUCAUAAAGAAUCAGUUCGUGACUUAAGGUAUAUAUUUAUGCAUGUUUCUAGCUAAAUAUUCUUCAUGAAGCUUUUCAUAAUUAAGUUUUACCUUUUUGACCAGCUUCUGUCGGACAGAUUUAAAGUUCUGUUCCUGCUCUGAUGAUACUACUGUUAAAGUUUGGGACUUUGCUCGGUGCCAGGAGGACCGUUCACUAUCUGGUAAUGUGCCUUGAAAGCUUGAUAUCUGAGGAUGAGCUUGCUGUUCCCAAUCUUUGUUUGACAUCAAUAACAUUUUUUUUUCAAUCAGUUGGUUGUGUUAUUGACAUAUUGUCUGAUAUCAUGUACUAUGGAAAUGAUAUGAUAGUGUGCCUCUUUGUUUGUUUGAACUAAAUUCCAAAGCAUGGUCAGUUAUGCUUCUUGUUUGAUGUUGUCAGCAAGAAAUUAGUGGAAAUGGACCUGAUAUUUUGGUCAAGUUUUUAGUUCUUCAUGUUGACAUUUAGACAUGUGGUUUUCAAACUUGGUUGACUUAUUUGGGAUUUGCUAGUGGAGAAUUGGUUUGGGUUAUUAGGCUUGAAUGUUUGUUAGCUGGCUUGUUGUGCAUGAGAAAUUACCUUUCAAAAGGGGUUGCCUUAAUCCUGUGCAUAUUGGUCAAUUUAGCCAUUCGGUCUUAGUAUUCCAAACUCCAGAAUUUGUGGUUAGGAUAUUAGAUAAGCUUAUGAUCAAUUUACCAUUGGAUGGCUAAACCAAUCAGAUCUAUUUGGGGAUGUGUCUAUGCUCAACUUUUGGCAUUUAGACUUUGGUGAUGUGGCUGUGUUCUUCUUGUUAUGUUGUGUAGAAUAUCAUAGAGACUCGUUAGAGUUCAAUAAAGAGGGAUCUGGUUGAGAAAUUUUCUCCUCUGAUGUAAAUCAUUUUAUUUUCAUUAGACAGCAUUGAUCUAGGAGUAUAUGAAAACAUGAUAUUAUCUACAAAAGGGGCUGGUAAAAAUCCUUCCCUUAUAGCAAUUAGGGAGAAAUUCUUAAAAACAGAUUAAAAAGAAGACAGAUUAUAAUAGGCAAGCCACUAACAAAACUUGAGUACUUUUUACCCUUUGGGAUAGGAUCUUCUAUAUUUAUUUCGUCCAAUGUAGUCCAAAACAGCAGAUAAUCUCAUUUCAGUUGAAACUGUUGUAAACCAGUGAAACAGAAAGAAAAGUGGCUUACUUCCACACUGGAUGUCCUCCCUAAAUCUAACUUGUCCCUAGUCCUUAGGCUCCUUACACCAAUUCUUUACCCUAAUUAAUUUAUGCUAGACCUUGAGACACUACUGCAUACUAAACAAUUGAAGCAACAAUGUCCUUGCUAUGACACCUUAUAUGCCUAAUAUGUUACUUUUCACUAUUAUGAGCCUUAAUAGAGUUUCUUGCGAACCUCCAUGGUAAUUUUCAUAGCAAAGUAGUGUUGACAAUAAGAGGCAAAGUUCUUAUUGAGUUAUCAACUUUCCUAAAAGGUAAAGCUAUUAGGAUUUGGGCCCAUAAUGUAUAUCAUGCUCUAACAACCUCCUUCACAUGUGACUCCAUACGCACUUGUAACUCCAUACCCACACGUGGAGAGAUAGAUAGAUGGAGAAAUAAAAAAUUUGUGAUCACAAAUAUAGAAAGAAAUAGGUGGGGGAAGGACCUGAACUCAAGAUCUUUUGCUCACUGGAGUCCUAAUAUCAUGUUGAGUUAUCAAUUUUUCUAAAAGCUUAAGUCGUUAGGAUUUGGGCCCUAGUGAUUCUAGUCCUCCUUGAUAUUCUUUCAAAGUUGAUCAUAAUACACAAAAUGGUACCUAAACAACUUCAUUUGACAAUAACAAUUAUAUAUGCAGCUGAGGAAGAAGAGCUGUCAAUCCAAAGACUUAAGAAUUCUUUUGUAUAUUUCCUUUGGUCAGAGAUGAAACUGUUUAUAAAAGAUGGUCCUUUGACUUUAGUUGAUUUUAUUGAUUGGGUGGGAACCCGUUGAGGGUGGGGUUCGGGCUGCACCUCCGGCCUUGGCAUCCAGCUAGGGAGUGGGGGGUGUUUUCUUCUUUGUAAUCUUUAAGCCGCUGCUUUGGUGGUUUUUUUAAUUCAAUUUUAUUCUUUACUUAUCAGAAAAAAAACAGUUAUAUAUGCAGCUAAGGUCUCAGCCCUGUUAGAAGGGUUGAAAGACUACUUUGGGUGUUAAUGAUUUGCUAGUGGAAGGGCACUCAGCUAUUGCAUUCCCAUUCAUUUCUCAGGGAAAAAGAGAGCGCUGGAGGCUGAAUAUGUUUAUUUACAAAAUUAUAGACAUGUCAAGGUUUUGGGAUGUUUUUUUCAUAGGUUUCUAUGUAUUGGCAAGCCAAGUAGCAGACCAGAUUUUUUUUUUUUUGAUAGGUAAAAUAAGAAUUAAAUUAAAAGCACUUGAAAGUAGCAGACUAGUUAUUGAAUCCUGGAUCCUUGUGUUUAGAGAUAUUUGUUGGGGACUUUUUUUUUUUUUUGAUAGAUAAACGCACAGAAAUAUAUUAAAAAGGGGGCAUGAAAGGCGACCUAGAGUAUACAGGGAGUAUACAAGCAUCACCUACAAAAACCGGAAACAAAAAGGACAAACCCUUACCAGACCUCAACAAGAACCCAACCAGUCCACAAAAUUAAACAGAUAUUUGUUGGGGACUUUAUGCCUCCCUGAGCUGCAUUUCAUUCUAAUCUUUGGUUGGACCUAUCCGAGUUCCUACCUAAGUGUAAUACUCUUUUUUCUUCAUUGUAUUCUUUCCUUUUAUCUUGAAGGAUACCUCAUCCUUCUUGUAAUUACUCUCUUUUUUUUAUCUCCCUUGCUGCUGCCUCCUCACAACACUCCCACAUAGCUGCAAGCCCCUGCCAAAAAGGGGGAUGGUUACGUGUCUUGGGUUGAGAAAUAAAGACACAAAGAGGUGAGCAAACUUGCAGAUAGAUUUUUGUCCCUUCUUUUGGAGGAUAAUUUUUCUUUAAGGAUCCCUACCUCCAACCGAAACUGCUGAUCACGGACCAAUGGCAUGCCCAUGUAGGUGGAAGGAAACUUAUCCACCUUGAGUUUUUGGUUGAGUCCAAGCUUGAAUUUUGGGAUCCUAUCCUUCCUGAAAAGCUUACUGUCAAUGAGAUUAAUUGUUAAUUGUAUUGAAGGAUCCUUUACUGAAUUUGAGGCUUAUCAUCCUAGCAUUGGGUUGAGUAAGUCCAAUAAUAUAGAAAAGGGUAAGCUAACUAUCUUCUUCACCACCGGAGAUCAGAAAGGAAUUGAGAGGAACAUGUUACAUUGUUUUUUUUGAACAGAUUCUUUCUUGUGAAUUGGAUGGAUUCUUCUUGUCUCAUAAUAUAUACUGUAUGUUCUGUGGAGGGGAAUUUAGGGGGGUUGCAUUCCAUUGAUUUUGGGUAGUUGGUAUUUCUUGUGAGUUAUAUGGAGCCUCUUGUCCUGAAAUGUAUGCCACAGGGUUCGAGAGUUCAUUUAAUGUCUUCCAUUAUAUCUUUUUGUCCCCUUUUUUUUUUUUUUUCAUUUGGAUGAUAUGAGAAAAUUACUCAUUACUGCUUGGAGAAUUGCUUCUUUGCUAAGUCCUUCACAGUACAUGGGAUUUGAUGUCUAUAUUAUUGGUGGCAUAAGUGAUUAAACAGUGCAUGAAGUAACCUAAGAGUUCUGUGUACAUGUUUUAAACUCAGGCAGGCCAUGGUUGGGAUGUGAAGAGUGUUGAUUGGCACCCUACAAAGUCCUUGCUAGUUUCAGGUGUGUACUUGUACACCUUUCUUUAAACUUCUUUGUUGAAAUCUUACUGCAAGAUGCAGAUCCAUACUCAUAUUCAAUUGAAUUGUCCUCUACGUAGGUGGGAAAGACAACCUUGUGAAACUUUGGGAUGCUAAAACAGGAAGAGAGCUUUGUUCAUUGUGAGUGCUUUUCCUUUCUUUUCUUUUCUUUUCUUUUUGGAGCAAAACUAUUUUAGUUUGUGAGUCAAAUUAUUUUGAGAAAUUGUAAAUCUCUUUUGCAGUCAUGGCCAUAAAAACACUGUGCUCUGUGUCAAAUGGAAUCAAAAUGGUAACUGGGUGCUAACUGCUUCAAAAGAUCAAAUCAUCAAGGUAAGUAACUUAGCUUUUUCUGAGGCUAUCUUUCCAAAUUGAAAGGAUUUGAAUUUGGACGCUUCUCUCUCUCUCUCUUUUUUAGGAUGCUUAUGCAUUAUUUCACUCUGCUUUUACAGCUUUAUGACAUAAGGGCUAUGAAGGAGCUUGAAUCCUUCCGUGGGCAUCGGAAGGAUGUGACUGGUUAGUGACAACACUUCUCAAAAACUUUUAUGCCUUAUAUGUGAUGUAUAAUGUUGACGGUUGUUAUGCACUUUUUAUUUGUCUCUACUGAUGCAUGUGAAAAUAAAAUGACAUCUGAAGAAAAACUCAGAUGAAUAUAUUGUCUCUUUUUCGCUUGCCUAAGCUAGUUGCAAAAAGGCUCGAAAAACUUCAAAGGGAUUUUCUUUGGGGAGGGGGAAGCACGGAAAGAAAAAUCCAUCUAAUCAAUUGGGAGGUGUGGUGUGUACCCAAAAGGAGAGUGGGGGUCUAGGUAUUCGGAAAAUUGAUCUCUUGAAUAAGGCCCUAUUGGGUAAAUGGAUUUGGCGGUUCGCCUUUGAGGAAGCAUUCCUUUGGAGGAAGGUGAUUGGGGUGAAGUAUGGCCAAGUGGGAUUUGGUUGGAGAACAAAGGAGGCCCGCGGAACGUUUGGGGUGGGGGUUUGGAGGGAUAUCUUGAAGGAGUCGUCUUGGUGUUGGGAUAAUAUAGAGUUCAAAGUGGGAAAGGGGACUAAGGUUAGUUUCUGGACUGACCAUUGGUGCGGAAAUGAGGUGCUGUCCCAAGCUUUUCCCCAGUUGUUUGCUUUGGCGGCCCAAAGGAAUGCCUCGGUAAAUGAGAUGUGAGAUUCUAGUCUUGGUCAAGGAGGUUGGAACAUAAGACUCUCUAGAAACUCUAAUGAUUGGGAGCUGGACGCCUUAGGAGAGCUGUUGCAUAUGUUGAGCGAUUUGAGGAUUUCUCUUGAAGAGGACUCAAUGACUUGGAAAGGAGGGGGACACGGCCGCUUUCGGAUUAGAGAUGCCUACAAGUUGUUGACAGGGCCUAAUGUCAUUACCUUCCCGAAAAAGAGCAUUUAUGAUAAUUCCUAACUAGCUGAUUGCUGAUUUUCUAGAGCUGAUUGCUGACUUACAUAUUUUGCAUUUUCUAACCAAUCUAUAAUGAGACUGACUUUGUAGCUCAUAAAAAAAAUAUUAGAUCCAGGGAAAUUUAAAAAAUGUAAUCCUUGGAUCAGUAAAGAAAGCUGGAAAAGAAAAAUAAGAUUGAACAAGUUAAUCUAGGUUGUACAUGUCGCUGAAAAUAUCCAGGAAUAAAGAUGAUAAAGAGAGGUCUCCUAUGAAAUUCGCUAAAAAGAAAAAAAGGGAAAAAGCAGCAUGUUAUGAUGACAUUCAGACCUUAUGUAAAAGUAAUUUGAGACUGGAAUUCUAUACUAAUCUGUCCCAGAAAACUCACAAUUGGGAAAAUCCUAGUGAAAGUAGAGACUAGGAAAGGAAAUGAUAUUCAGCCACUGUUAAUAGAAGUUCUGAUUAGUCACAAAUGAGAUGUAUCUGUGUAAAUACAAAAUGUUUUUUAUGUUAUAAGUCCAUGAGCUAUGGUGCUUAGGACUCAAAUAUUUUUAUGUUGGUGACCAGUUCCAGGAGUAAAGACAGCAAGGAAGGGCAUCUCCUACCAAUAUUCAUAGGAAAAAGAAUUACUUAUGAUAUGCCUGUGACUUGAAAUUAAAACCUGGUCCAAAAGUAACUUUGAAAACCUGAUUCCAGGAAAAAAUCCUUGUCGAAGUAGUAAACAUAUAUUUUAAGGCAAGACUCAAUAUUUGUUUAUGCUUUGGGUUGGCCUUUGGGCGCCCUUUUUUAUUAAUAUAUUAAUUUUCUGUGUCUUUACCCAUCAAGAAAAAAAAAUUUUGUUUAUAUUUACUGUCAUUUAUAUUUUUGAAAGGAUUUCUCAUCCUUCACUUGUACUUGAAAAUUCAUAUCAAUGAAUUGUUUAUUUUUUAUUUAAGAAAAAAAAUAUCUCAUGUCCUUUAAGGUUACUAUGAAAUUGUUUGGGAAUUGUAAACAGUUUUUUGUUCUUAAAAAUAGAAAAUUGUUUUCCAAACUUGAAACAUAUUUGGUAAUUUUUGAACAGAUAACAGUUUCUUGAGAACUUGUUAUUAAAAUAGGAUUGUUUUUGAGAGUACAUUCUAAUUGUUUUUACUUAUGUUUUGAGGGUUAUUUAAAAAAUAAUUGCAUAGAUAUGGAGAAUGAUUGAAAAUAAAGCAUUACAAAUAAAUGUCAUUUUUAAGAAAUAUAUGGAAACACAGAAAAUAGGUUGAGAAUAUUCCAAGUUCCCAAACAAACUUUUGUCAUUAAAAACAUUAGAUAACUAUUUUUAAUUGUUUUUUUAAUAACCGAGAAACCUUUCAUGGUUAAGUCCUUCAAACUAAUUUAAAAUUUUUUUCCAUAAAUUGUUCUCACAAACAUUCCAAAAUAGGCUCCAUGUUUUCCCUUGAAGUUGUUUUACUACUCCAAACCAUAUUUGGCGUGAGAAAGAUGGAGUGCUUUAUUUAUUUAUUUUUUUGAUAGGUAAAUUUUUGUCCCCAUUGGGGCUUGAACUUGGAACGUGAACGUCCCACAAACCCUCCCCAUCUCUUUACCACUUGAGCCAGGCCUCAAGGGCGAUGCAAUGCUUUAUAAGAAGACAAUAACAACUUUUAGUCACCUGCCAUGUAUCUUUACUUGUCAAAACUAUCUCUAUGCAGGCACCAUUUGCUGCAGCUUUUUUGGAUUGCCUGAAAGCUCUUUUUGACUGCUGAAGCAGUUAGCAUAUAUGUUACACAAAAGCACUUUAAAGCAAAAAAGUCUGACUCUUGGAGCUGCAAAGCUCCUCGCAAUGAAGUUGGGGGCUAUAUGCUUUUGCAAAAGUGCUAUAGGAGGACGUUUCAGAAUUUAAGGCCCUGAUUGGGAACAGUUUUUUGAAACAGUUUUUUUUGUUCUUUAGAUAUAUAAAAAGAAAAAAAAAAAAAGGAAAACACAUUUAACAACCAGAAAAUGGAAAACAAGGCGUUUUUAGAGAACAUUUUUUAGUAGUUUUCACUUGUUUUCUGAGGGCUAUUUUAAAAAUAAAGUACUACAUAUAAAAGUUACUUUUAAAAUAUAUUUGAAAAUAUAGAAAACAUGUUAAAAAUAUUUCAAAUUCUCAAACUGAUGUUUGUUCUACAAAACAUGAGAGAACAAUUUUCAACAACUGUUUUUAAGGACCGUUUUUUUAAAAUGUCUCCCAUUUGGAGGCUAAGUUUUUUUCCCUGAUUAAAUAUGAAUGUCUUUUUUAGGGAAACACCUUAUUGGAAGUUACAGCGCAACUAGACAAGCCUAUAGACUAGUCACCUUCAGGGCGCUACUUGAAUCAGAGUUGACUAUGGAUUGAAUCAAAAUAUGGAAGAGGAUUUGAGUAGACAUGGCCAAGUAUUUGUAAUAAGACACUUUAAGAGUGAUCUUCAAAUUAUGUGACUAGGAGAUUGGCAUAGGUCUUAGUGUCUUAUCAUCAAAAGCAAAAAAAAUCAAAGUAAAAUAAAUUUUGCAUGCUGAUGCUAGUGAUACAAGGGAUAUCUGAUGGGUAUGCGUGAAUUGUUUCAUAGUUUGAGUUACUUCACACUUAAAAUAGGAUCUAAAAUGUUUGAUAUUUUUCUGUAUUUUCCCUAGACUGUGAAUAUAGCAUUCAUGGUUACAUUUUUUGCUACCACAUCUGAAUGAUCAAAAGAAAUUAUUUCUGGGAUAUUGGGUUGCAGAAAUAGGUGUCUCUAAAUAAAUAGCAAUAUCAUAGUAACCGUGUCUUCAAGUUUGAGAGUGUGGUUAGAUUGUGGAUAAAUGUUAUGUGAGACUCCUUCAUUAUGCUUUAACCGUGGACAGUUGUUUUACCUAAUGAAUUUAGUGCUAAAUUGUAGCUGGACAAUUUCCUGAUGGUAAUUCAAUGUAACUCUUGUUUCCAAUGUUUGCAGCAUUGGCUUGGCAUCCAUUUCAUGAAGACUAUUUUGUAAGUGGAAGUUUUGAUGGAUCCAUUUUCCAUUGGCUAGUCGGGUAAUUUCUCUUCCUGAUCAAGGAUAUUCUUUUUAGUCAUGGAUAAAAUUAAAAAGAUGAUUUGUACUCAUUAAUGUAUCAGUUCAUUUUCUCUUGUUUGUUUGCCUCUUCCAUACCUCCGUUUCUUUUAUGCAUCAAACCCUUUUUCAUGUGGAACCACUCAUAUUCUUCGGUUGUUUCCUGGGCAAAACAUGGAACAAUCUACAGCAGAAAUAAAUGUAAAUAAAGGCCGCCGACUGUUGCCAUGUAUUUAUUUAAUCUAAUUGACACUGAUAUGGAUUGAUUGAUCAGAAUUGGGAUUGGAUUUAGAAGUAAGUGAUGCUUUAUGGAGCACAUAUUUUACAUUUAUUUUAUUGGCUUUGGUUUCUUUAUCAGAAUAUAUGGUAUUAGAAUAUGGUGGUUUUGGCUUUGAGUUCUUUAUUGAAUAUGCAUUGCUCAGUCGAUUAUAUUAUCUGAUUUCUAGGAACAUAUCAUAAUGAAUGGAACAAAACCAAUUGACAUUCUAAUAAGAUGACCAUAGUCAUAGUGGAUUAAAAGGCAUAAGACAAACCCUUGAAAUGAAAAGAAUUAUGAAGUUCUAAGAUAAAACCUAAAGGGACUAGCCCCAACCCCUCCUCUAAGACCUCUGAUUUGCUAUUUUUUGCAUCUAAAAGUUGCACCUAGUCCUUGACUGUAUUAUGUCUUAUCCUCAAGUUAAAAUGGGCUUAUGGAUUCUAUUUUCAUGGUGGAUGUUAUUGAUAUCAUUCCUUACUGCAUGUUUAUAACUGCUUUCAGGUCUUGUAUCUCAUUUCCAAAUACAUUCUUGUGAUUUACAGGCAUGAAACCCCCCAGGUUGAAAUUCCUGGUGCCCACGAUAAUAGUGUUUGGGACCUUGCCUGGCAUCCUAUAGGGUAUAUUCUUUGCAGGUAAGCUCUGAACUGAUUAUUCUUGUCAUUUGUGGUUACCUUGUGUCAUUUUUACUGCAUUUUCAGUGUGAUAUUUAGAGAUGCUGCUUUUGGAAGAUUUGUUUUCUACUCAUAAGUGUUGAACUUUUAACAUCUCUUUUACAGUGGCCCUUUUUUGCCAACACGUUUGAGAUUUGGCCAUAAAUCAUUCAAUUGAUAUUCCAAUUUUAUGAAUUGUUGUUUUUUCUUUCUUUUCCAAAGAAAUGUAUUUAUUUAGAAAAUCAAUUUGUUUAUAACCUGCUGUUGCUUAACUGCUGGUGGGUAAACAUUCACAUCUAGCAUAGGGCGCUUUGUUUCUGUUAAUGUAAUUUUAUUUGGAGGAUUCUGACUCAAAAUUCGGUUGACCGUUUCCAUUGGCUUUCAAUAAAUUUCCAUUCAUGAAGAUGGUAACUGACUAUCAAAAAAAUUAAUCAAGGAUCAGAAACUUGCUGGGGCUAUCUCACUAGUUGGGUCCAAUUUAGACUGCUUUAAUUAGUCAUGAGAACAUCAUUCUGAGAGAGGUUGUUGAUAAGAACUCCAUGUAUACAAAGAAAAGAGCAUGUAAAUUUAGUAAGUUUGUUUGACAUUAUUAGUACUGCAUGCUAGGUAACCUUUUGGUAGAGUUUAAGACAAGGAGACCUUGACUUCCUGCAGUGUCCAAAAAAUCUGGUUUAGAAUCUUGGUCUAUUUUUCCGAAUGUUGUAUAUUUGAUUUUUUUCUAUUUUCCAAGAUGUUUAUUCUGCUACCAUCAUCCUGUGGUUAAGGGAUCAAAUUUUUUUGGUUCCCACUGUAAGAUAGAAUCACAAAAUCAUCUGAUAAAAAACAUGAAGACUAUAUCUAGCUCAAAGUAUGACUAGAGUUUGAAUUAUGAAUUAUGUUCAUAGUGGCCUGUACCUCCUUGUUUUGUUUAGUUUUGAAUUUUAUUUUUUCAAAUGCAAUUUCAAAUUUGUUAUUGGUAAAAGGAGGAUCAAUGAUUGGUAAUUGUCAAGACAGUUAUAGUGAUUGGUUGGAGGAUCUUUUAUUGGAUGUUAUGGGCUUUGCUGGGGACUUGGACUAUAAGAUGAAAAGCUUUUUGGUCACUUACUAGGGUCUCAGAUAGGGAACUGGUUUUAAUUUCAAAGAUUUGGUAUUCCCUUGGUGCAAGGGUGGAGGAACAACUGAGUUCCUUAGAAAUACUGCACUGUGGCCAAUCUUCCUACUUACUUGAGUCUCAGUUCCAUGUUUCUGCUUUUGUGGUUAAGAGACUGAGGAGUUGUCUCAGGGAUUUCUGACAGGUUCAGAUGAUUGGUUAAAUAUUGAUGAACUGUGAUAAUUCUCUUCCUGUGUAAACAAUUGGAUUUUGGGGAUCUGGCUAAUCAUUCCUUUUAGGAAAGUUCUUGUUUGGGAAGUGGCAUUGCAGAUUCAACUCAGAGUAGACAGCUUUUUGGAUAAGUCAUUUGCUUUAAAUACAUUACUUGUGAGGUUGAGAUCUUAGUUAGGUUGAAAUGCUUUUCGAUUUACUUGUAUGGGAAAUGUCAUGCUACUAGACAAUGAAGUCAAUAGUUACUCAUGAUUUUAGGUUGGGAAAGUCAGAAGUGCUUACUAGGUUGGUGGUGAGCAAAGAGGUCCCUAAAGAAUAUGCUUCUUACUCAUUUUUCUGUUUCUACUAACUGGAGAUGGUGGCUUUCCAUUGGAACAGGAGAAUGUAGUUUCCUGUGUUGUGAACCAUGGUUCACGUGGCCUGCGGAGAGAUAAGUUCUUGAUCUUGUCUCUAUGAUUGAUGAUCAGCCCUAUACAUAGUUUGCAGUUCAAAUAUCUUUGUCACAAUCUUCUUUUUUGGACUAAGUGUGAUACAACAUUCCUUCCUAUUCACAGUUCUUGUGAUUUGUGGUUUCUUCCAUUUUAAGGCCUGUUAAUUUGAAAUGUUUAAUUUUCAAGUUCUAUCAAUUGCUGUGCUGUUCCGGCUUUACUUUCCUGUAUAGCAUCUAAUGGUUGCUUUUAUUCAGUCUAUGUAGCAUUAUUGUGGUAGACAAUGCAUGGAAGUUUUAAGUUCUUCUGUGUUAAUCUCUAUUGUGCUUAGGCCACUCCUCAAGUUACUAAACUUCUAGUUUCUCAUGCAGUGGAAGCAAUGAUCAUACAACGAAAUUUUGGUGUAGAAAUAGGCCAGGAGAUACCGUUCGUGAUAAAUUCAACAUGGGGCACAACCAAGGUGGUUAUUAUAUUCUCCUGAUCACUUCAUGGUAUUUCUUUUAAGCCAAGUUCAAAUUCUCUACAGUUCAACUUGUUGGAUUCUAUAACCAAAUGGAUUAUGCUCAGGAGUAUUUUUUACUCUGGAGAUCCACUUGAAUAUCCCAUAUAUCUUCUGCUUUGGUUUGUGUAGUUCCUACAAACUUCUAUGCGUUGAACUGUAAAGUAUUUGAAAUUGUUAAAAUCGUUAUUCAGAACUGGAAUUUUAUUAUUUUUAAGUUCAUUAAUCUGUGCUAGGUUAUGGUGAUCAAAACCCUGCACUUGGUGGUCGCAUGCCUGGUAAUUUCCCGGUACCUGAAACCCCAACAACUCCGGGUCCAUUUGCAGCUGGAUUGACCCGAAACGAGGGAACCAUUCCAGGUGUUGGAGUUGCAAUGCCAUUAACUAUCCCAUCUCUUGAUACAUCAGCUCAAGGAGAGCAGAAGCAGCCUCUUCCUGUUUCAAUUCCUUUAGGGGCACCUCCUCUUCCGCCUGGUCCUCACCCAUCCCUUCUUGCGGCCAACCAGCAGCAGGCAUAUCAACAAAAUCCUCCUCAAAUGCCACAACACCACCAGGCACUCCCACAGCAAAUGCCGCCUUUGCCUCUGCAGCCACCAAAUAUGUCACAGCUACAGCCUCCUUCCCAUUUACCCCUGCUACCACAUCCUCACUUACCUCGCCCUCCCCAGUUGCCCCCAAUGGGCAUGCCUUCAAAUAUUCCGUCUUCUAUGCCAGGAUCCUUGCCCAUGCCUUCAAUGCCCACAUCACUUCCACUGCAGAUGCCUGCUCCAAUGGUACUAAGCUGUGUGCAACUCUAAUUUUUAUUUAAUUUUGUAUGAUAUUUUCUCUUGGACUGGGCUACCUUUGACUGCUUAGUUUUUCUGCUUUUAUGGUCAAUGUGACUCUAAGGUUCAGUUCCUAUGAUGUAUCAGGAAUUUGUUCUUUUUCCUUGUUGUGGCCACCCGUUGGCUACAUAUCUUGAUCAAUUGGCAUGUUGAGCACAUAUCUCGUACACAAACAUUGUCAUGCCAUAUUUGUAUGCCAUAUCCUGUACCAAAACUCUAAUUUUUAUUUAUUUUUAUCUAAUUUUGUAUGCUAUUUUUCUCUUGGGCAGGGUUAACUUUGAUUGCUCAGUUUUUAUGCUUUUAUGGUCAAUGUGACUCCACGGUUCCUAUGAUGUAUCGGGGAUUUGUUCUUUUUCUUUGUUGUGGCCACCUGUUGGCUAUGUCUUGAUCAAUUGGCAUGUUGAGCACAUAUCUUGUACCCAAACAUUAUCAUGCCAUAUUUGACACGUAUUUCAUUUACAUUUGAAGUGUGCAUGUGACAUAGCUUUUCAGUGAAAUGGAGGACAUGCUCCUCCAUAUUGUGCUCAUGCCAGCUGCUGUUGAAAACUGUAUAGUGAAGAAGUGGAGGUAAAUCAAACAUUUUUCAGUUAAGCGCCCUUUAUGCAGAGGGACAUGCUCGGCCUUUCAUGAAAGAGUGUGUAAUUUUCUAGUGAAAUGUGCUAGUUUAGGGCCCCAAUUUGGGCAUAGUUACUGAUUGCCUUUUUAAAUUUAAAUUUGUUUAAUUAUUUAUUUUUUAAAUAACAAAAAGGUCAAUGGCAGAAAAUAUGUUUGGUGAGGCUCUAUAGUUUUCUUCUUUUAAGAGAUGAGUAUUGAAAUUGAAAGUUUAUGGAACAAAAACUUAAUGUUUCUAGGGGCAAAAAGAGAAAUAAAAAAAACAUGUAAUCCAAGUGGCAAUGCAUGUGACUUACUUGAGUUGUUGUUCAUUGAUGAUACUUUAGUCUUCUGUGAGCCUUCUCUAGAUCAAUUGACUUAUUAGAGUUGGUUACUUAUGUGGUUUGAGGCAAUGUCAAUGUUUAGGGUAAAAAAGUGAGCUGAUUUGUAUAGGGAGAGUGGAGAAUUUAGAAGAGUUGGCUCCAGAGUUUGGUUGCAAGAUUGGUGAGCUCCAGUCUUCUUACUUAGGCCUUCCCUUGGGUGCUCAGUUUAACUUUGUGGCAGUUUGGGAAUGUGUGGAGGAGAGGUUUUAAAAAGGAUUAUCAUUAUGGAAAAGACGAUAUAUUUCCAAAGGGACUAGGCUUACCCUAAUCUGUAGUAGUCUCUCUAGCAUGCCAAUUUGUUUUAUGUUCUUAUUUUGUAUUCCUAGGAAAGUCAGACUGAGGGUGGAAUAAAUUCAAAAGGAUCUUCUUUGGGGAGGAGGGACCCUUGAGUGGAAACCUCAUUUAGUAAGAUGAUCUAUUGUCUGCUAAAAAAAAGAAAGGGUGGUUUGGGGUGGCCUAGGGGUUAGGAAUUUGUUGUUCCUAAACAAGAUCUUCCUGUGCAAAUGGAGUUAGUGUUUUGCAAAGGAGAGGGUGGCACUCUUGCAAAGUGAAAGAGAGGUGGUAUGAGGUAGGGUUGUGGAAAGUCAUCAUGAAAGAUUGGGAUAUUUUGAGGUGUAGUAUGACCUUUUCUGUGCGUAAAGAGAGGAGGGUGAGAUUUUGGAAGGAUAAGUGGUGUGGUGAUAAACUAUUGUGCACUUCUUUUCCCUCCUUAUUUGCUAUUGCUUCGUCCAAGGAGGCUUGGAUGGAGGAUGUUUGGAACCAUUCAGCUGAAGGGGGAGUAUGGGCCCCCCUCUUUUCUAGGCGGCUCAAUGAUUGGGAGGUGGUUUUUGUGGAGUGUUUCUUUCAGAGAUUGCAAGGGAGGAGGGUAUGUUGAUGAUCAGGUGACUGAGACAAAGUCAAAGGAUGAGAAAUUUACUGUCAAAUCCCUCUACAAGGCUUUAGAGCUGAAGAGACAAGGCGCUUCCCAACAGGUAUAAUUUGGAACUCAUGGGUGCCAUCGAGGGUGGGUUUCUUUGCUUAGGAGGCUAUGUGGGAUAAGGUCUUAACCUUGGAUCAUAUUCGGAGGAGAGGGUGACCAUUGGCUAAUAGAUGCUUCCUAUCUGUUAAUCACAUCCUCUUGCACUAUGAUGGGGCAAGGGAUUUAUGGCAUUUAUCUCUAUUUGAGGUGUGAUGGGUCCUCCCUGCCUUAGUUAGAGAGACUUUGUUUAGUUGGCAUGGGUCUUUUGUGGGCAAAAAGCGGAAAAAGGUGUGGCGGAUAGCUCUCUUAUGUCUUUUGUGGACAAUUUGGAAGGAAAUAAACAAUAGGGCAUUCAAGAAUGAGGGGCGAUUGGUCUAAGGGCUUAAACUUUCUUCCCUUUGUAAUCUUUGCACAUGAGCUAAGGUGUAUUCAGUUUCAUGUCCUUCCACCAUUGAUUUUGUGGAUUUGUUGGGCUUUGCUUGAGUGCUGUUUUUUGUUAUUCCCUUUUGUUGGUGGCGCUUUUUGGUGCCCGUUGUAUACUUUCUAUGUACUUUGGGGAACUUUUCUAGAGUGCUUCUUUUUAAUAUACUCCUUUUUGUUUAUCAAAAAAAAAUAAAAUGUGGCAAUGCAUAUGAUAUUGUGUUUCUUAUAGUGUAAAAAAAAUUUACUUGGGCUCAAGUCUCCAACAUCUCUAGGAUGCAUUCCAAUCCUUUUUUCCUCGACAACUACUCUGUUUUGUUAGUCGAAGAGGCCGAAUUUUAUUACCCCAACUCUGGAAAUUAGUGUUGUUGGCCCUCUCCUUUUUUGCUCCCCCCACUCUCUCUCUUUCUCUCUGGGGUUUCAUUUGUAUAUGGCCUGCCAUAGUUCCUUGUUUGAUGUUUAUUUUUAUUCUUGAAUGAUCUGUGUGUGUGCGCACGCACAUGUGUGGUGUGUGUUGUGCAGGGAUUGCCAUAAUUUCUUUAUUUUCCAUUUGUUUUAUUCUUGAAUGAUCUGAAUGGUCCCAUGCUCUUAACAACAAAAUCAAUGCAGAUUUUAAAAUCAAUAAUGGUUCAUAUGGCCACUUGAUGUCCGUUAUAAUUUUUGAAAUUUUAUAAAGUCUAAUACCUUGAGUUUUCUGGUCAAGUUACUUCCAUAUCCAAAUAGCUUGCAGAAAUAUUGGUAUCAUAUUUGCAUAACCUGUGCAUGCUUGCUCCUUUGUAAUCUCAUCUGUGUGUCAAUCUAAAAUUAUUUUAUGAUUUAGUAGCAAUUUAGUAGCUCUUUUGUUUGUUUGUUUGUUUGUGUUUCAAUUUUUUUUUAUCAGUAUGCAUGUUUUUUAUUUUUUAUAUUUUUUACAACAUAUAACCAACAUGAUUGCCAAAUGUGUUUCCUAUUUUAUGAACUGGAAACAAAAACUCAAAACAACUUAUUUCCUGCUACAAAAUAGCAAAAUUAGCAAGUGAACCAAAUUCAAGCUUUGCCUUGGGUGGUUCAGUGAUUGAAAACCGUCCAUCUUGUAAAAUGGUGGAUCAGAAACGAUCCUUGCUCUUUCCAUUCUAUAAAAGAUUUUUAGUGUUUGCUAACCUAAGUAUAUUUCUGAGUUCAGGGGAUGCAAGGUGCAAUGAAUCAGAUGGGUCCCCCAAUGCCGCAAGGCCAUUUUAUGGGCAUGAAUCCAAUGCAUGCAGGAUCCUUACCCACUGGUGGUGUACCUCCUCCCAUUGGAAGUUUCCAGGGUGGGGCUCAAAUGUAUGCACCAGGUGGUUCAUUCAACCGAGCUCCAGCUGGACAAAUGCCAAUGAUGCCCGGGCUGAAUCCCUACCAGGUGAGAUGGACUUUCAUUUAUUGGUGUUAGAAACUGUUUUACCUUUCAUUCUUGGCAAGUAGAGAUAGCUACUAUCAGCUGGCUGAAUUUUUUUUUUUUUUUUUGGUAGCUAGUGUGAGUUUUAUCAUAUUUGUUUCUUAUCCUUAGACUCUUUGAAUGUAGUAUUUUUACCAAAAAGGAAAAAUUUUUGGUAGCUAGGACAAGUCAUUCUUCAUCCUUUAAACUGUUUGAAUGACAUCUACUGGUAGUGGUAAUUUUUAAAUGUGGAAAACUUGGAAAACCAUGCAGUUCACACACAAAACCAUGUGAAAUGAGAUCUGUUAAGACAAUCCAUGUGCUACUGACUGAUUCUUUUCAUGCAAUCCUCUUCUUGUCAUGCAUUUAUCUCCCUUUUGGUUUAUGCCCCUAUAAUUUAUCUGAGAAGAUGUAGGAAAAGGAAAUGGUAUUUGGAAUUCACAAACUGUGUUUUCGACUCCUGGUUGUAAGAUCUGAACUUUUCUAUUUCAUGUCUUCUUUGCAACCAAAUGGAGUAUAAGUUCAAGUUAGAGUUUCGAAUUUUCAUUUGCAUAUUAAAAAAGAAAAGGAAAUUCAAGUUGAGUUUCUCCUUAGUUGCUUAAGAAAUUUGGCUAUUCAAGGGAAUUCCAUCUCCUAAAUGCCAUGAAUCCUUUCCCCCUUUUUUACUUUGAUAUCUUUUUUGCUUGUUUAAUUAGUUUGUUUCUUCAGUUAGAUAAAGGAUUGGGGACAAGAUGAUGUCUAAAAGUGUUCGUUUCUCACAACAGAAGACACUUGUACUGGUUAUCUGCUGAAUGUUUGUGCUCCUGUUCCUUUUUUUUAAUUUUUUUUUAUUUAUGCCAUUUCCUAAUUCUUUUUCCCUUCCUGGUACUUUUCUUGAGAGUAGAUUGAAGGGUAGAAGCUCUUAUUAAAUUUCCAACUCAAAAGCUUCGUACAUGAAAAAGCUUAGACACUUUACUUAGGCCUUACUCUCAACUAAGACUAGACACUUUGAAAGGUAAAAGCUCUUUUUUAAGCUCAAUAAAAGCGUCUAAGCCUAUUUGGUUAAUUUUAUCCAAAGAGAUUAUGACUUAAAAAAGAGCUUAAUAUGGAAACCAGGAAAAUGUCGCUUCUUGUAGGAGCUCAGUUUUGGCUUACAAGUUCUUGCAUGUUUUGUAAAAUUUUUAGGAUACCGAUAUUGCCCUUUAAAAAUUGCGACUUUUAAAGCUAAAGCCAAAAACAGGAACCUAUCAGAAACGAAGCCUUAAUGUAUUAGUGGAAAUUAACUGAAAUAGUUUAUAAUUUAAUCCCUGUUUAUAUGUGUGGGUAGUUUUAACUCAUGAACCUGCACGUCAAACAUGGGGAACGGAGAUCUCUACAGUUAAUUUUCUUUCUGAUAGGCAAAUAAAAAAAUUAUUUUAUGUAUGAAUUCCUUGUGGCAAACAAAGCCGUGUGGAAAGUUUUGGGUCUGGAUUUUCCACUGCAAAAUUCUUGGAUUCUGAUUUGCAUACAUGAGAUUUACAUUCUUAUGUGGCUGGGUUUUCUGAACAGAUAUCAUUUAUAAUGCUGCUGAAUCUAAUUGCUACAUUUUUCUUAUUGCAGACCGGGAAUCCGAAUCCAAGCGGAAGCGGCAUGGGAACACUGCCAUCAAAUAUGGGUCAUCCAUCUGGUAUGGCUCCGCCACCACCACCACCAGGUCCGCCGCCGCAUGGCCAACCAACACAAUAGGACCAUUCAUGUGGGCAAUGCGGCAGUCAGCUGGGACAGAAGGGAAACCAAGAGUUGCUUUCUUUCUCUUUUUUCACUCUCAUCCAUUUUCCAUGGCUUGUAACAGGAUUCUGUUUAUUUUUGUUUGUUCUGUAUUUGCCCAAUUGAUUUCCCUUGUACACAACUAGUUAAAACAGUUGAUGUGAAUUUUAUUUACAACCGCUCCCCCUGGUGAAAAAGAACACUGUUCUUUUCUGCAAUCCAUGGAUUUAGAAGCCUUGAUCAAACGCUUUCUAACAUAUGCUGAUAAACAUCGGUUAUGGAUGAUUGGUUAGAAGAUGCUAUGAGGAUGUUUGGUUUAAAAUUAUUUUAUUUUAUUUUAAUUUAAUUUUUUUCUUUUUUUUUUUGGUCUCAAAAUGGAUAAACAAUACUAAUACUUGAAGAAAAAUAAAAAUAAAUUAAAGUAAAUUACUUGAUUUUAAUGAAAGGGAAAGGUCACGUGACAAAAAUAAUAUUAGGUGGCAAAUUGUGAUGGCGGGUGGAAAACACUAAAAUGAAGGGUAAGAUAGUAGUUUUAGUUUUUGAGAGCUCACAGUUCACAAAAGCGGCUGUCGGCUUGGCUCCUGCCAUCUCCGGUUCAUCUCCUUCCGCCGGCUCAUCGCUCCUCCUCCGCUGGUUUUUCAAUUAUCAGUCGACUGCAAAUGGUAAGAUUUUGAUUCUCUAUUUAUCUCAAGCUUUAGAAUAAAAUUUUAAUUGUUGAUCUGUUCGGUUGCUGAGAAAGACACGGAAAGUAAGAAUUUUGAUUAUUGCACAUACUCCGCCAAUGACCAAUACUCUCCUUUUAAAUCUCAAUUUAAUUUUUUUAUAGCAUUUUGCUUAAUUAAUCCACACGCGUCCUUAUUUUCUUUUUCCAUUCUGGUCUGGUCAGAUUCAGCUCCAGUUGUAGCUAACAUAGCUUUGUCAGGCGCCUAGUUGAAUGAAUCGGUACCGUUUUUGUUCCAUUAUAUUAAAUUAUGGAUCAUUUAUUGUUUAUGUCUAAGAUUUUUGUUUGGAUUGGAUUGGACUGGAUUUGCUGCUGUUGCUCCCUUUGGUUUCCGUGAAAAUGGAGGAAAACUAAAUUAAUUGAUAAAUGAAUGAAAUUAUGUUUAAUUUUUAUGGGACUGCUGGUGAAUUUUUUAGGGUUUUAUUAGGUUCAUCUCUCAUUUUUAUGGGUUUUAUUUUGUUACAUUAAUGGUUUAUUUCCCCUAGAUUCGUUUGGUUUUAGAAUCAAUGCCCUACCUGUCUUAAGAUUUGAUGCAUUGUAUGCAUUAUUGUUAGCAAUUGUUCAGUUUCAUUUUCAGAAAUGUUUCUUUGAGAAGAACACAAACCUCUUUGUAAUGUUUCUGGAUAAUGGCCCAUUCUAGAGAAAUUUUUUAAAUUAAACUCUCUAAAAUUAUGCGGCCAGACCACCAGUGGAACAGUAAAAAGCUUGAGCUCUUAAGCUUGAAUCCUCAUGUUUGGGUCUUGAGAAGGACUCUUCCCAAGACACUUCUUCCACUGGACAAUAACUUCUGAACUGAGAUUUCAAACAUGCGUUUUUCCAUGUCAUUUUUGAAAAAUGAAAAACAGUUUUGGGAAACAGAACUGGUGAAGUCCCCCUUCAUAUUCUUUUGCUGAGUUUCUUAUAGGGUUUUCUUGUUCAUGGAUUUGCAGUUGGGUUGCCAUAUGUUUUCACUUUGGUGUUCUUCCAUGCUAAUAUGAAGAUUGUUUUAGAAGUCUUCAUCCUCUGUUACUUGUUGAUUUUGAUAUGGGUGUGAUUGAGAUAUUUUUGUGCUUUUGAAUUUUGUGUUAUGCUUUUCAAUUGAAAGUACACAUUUGGAAGUGGGUUACAUGGAAAGACCUUGUGAUAUAUCACUAUCAACCUUAACCAUAAUGAUGGAAGAAUAAUGUAACAAUUGUGUUUUCCUUCUUUUUUGUUUUUCUUUUUCUGGUGAUACUGUUGCAUCACUGGGGAGACCUCUGAUUAACAGGAAGGGUUACCCCUUAAAUAGGAUCAUCCCCCAAAAUUUUCAUAGUUGAUUGCUUUCCAGAUCACUCUUUGCAAUGGUAAUAUAGACAUUCUAUGGUGCUUUUGACAGCUUUUGAUACCACUUCUUUUUUAUUAGGGUAGUGACCCUAAAUGAGUCAUGAAUCCUUCAAUGUAGACUCUUGCAUGAGUGGUUUCUGGGAUCAUGCAUGUCUUACAUAACCUUGAUUCUGUUCUUUUAAUCUUCUACUGAAAAAUACCUCAUUUCUUCUUUCAUGAUCAACUCUUUUCAAGGACAAGUCCUUAAAUGUCUUUAAGGGCUAAAAAACCUACUUGCUUUAUGAAAACUCUCUGUAACAAUCUUCUGUAUUUCUAUUCCAUCAAAUAGCCCAUAUGUCUUUACUGCUUUGGGAUUGUUCUUAAUAUACCUUGAAAGAAAAGAUGAAGUGUGGGUUACCUUGGGUGUCUUGUGUCUAGGAGAAGGAAGGAAAAAAAAGAAAAAGAAAAAAAAAGAAAAACCGAAUUUGCAAAAUGUGUGUAAUUACCCAAUAUUUAAAUGCAUAUCAAUUGCCUUAGACAAAAAUUACAAUAUUUUUAGCAGCUGAUUUUAUAGAGUUUUUCAUAUCACCUUUAUAUUGUCUUGGUUUACUCUUUUAAGUGGAUAAUCACUUUGUGUCUACUGUUUGGGCAUUUGGGUUUGGAUAAAAUUUUGGAAUUCCAGCGGUUUAUGAGUUUUGUGAUGAGACGACACACUUUUAUCCAUUUUUAUAGUAUCAUAACAUGGGAUCACCUUAAUAUUUAAUGGGUACCGUCCUAUAAUAUAAUGAGCUUAGGAAAGUACGGAUUCAAAUAGUGUGUUCGAGUUUUUUUUUAUUUCACUUAUGAGGGAUGUAGAAUUCUCUAUGAAAAUUCAAUAAGAUGAUGGAAGGACCACUCAGCAUUAUGUCUCUUGUUCGUACUACCACCACCACCUCAUUUGGGGUUCUCUUUUUAAUUUUAAAAUUGAUGCCUAAUAUAUAUAAAAUAAACUCUAAAUGUCCUUUUUGGCAAUUCAUCAAUACCAAAAGUUUAUUUGUUGUUGGAUAACACAUAAUUACAAAUACUAUGAAAAUAGUGCUUUCGUAUGAUAUCUAAACAUGAACUGCUUCUUCAUAAAACCUCUUCUACUAUUAGUAUUACCAGCAAAAGCGCUACUGACUAAAAGCACUCACCCGAAUCACUUCUGAAUUGGCUUUUCUUUCAUUUUUCUACAGUUGUGAUUUUGCUAUGCUUUGGAUGUUUUCACCAAAAAUUGAGUGAUGUAUUGGAACAUGAUUGUGUGACUUGUGUCCCAUCUACAAAAUUUUCUUUUAUUUUUUUCUACACUAUGGUGGAUGUAGUCAUAAACGGGAAUUCCAUUACAUGUUGUGGAUGUAGCUGUUGGGAUAUUUAUAGGUGAAUGAAAAUUAAGACAUACUGUUUUUUAAUUAGACACAACUCUUCUUAAUGGACACAAUUUGUGUCAAAGGAUAUGUCAAGUAUUUAAGACACAUCUCUUCUAAGAGUCACCAGAAUACCUAUAAAUAGCCCCCCACCCAUGGCAUUUCUCAUUCAUUCCAUCAUCAAUUCUCUCCACUUUUUCUCAUUUCUUCCAAGUGUUUGGUAUUCAAGAGAGUUCAAGUCAUCAAGUGAUUUGCUGUUUCUUGUGAUUUGGAGUGCUACUAUCAUAAGAAAGUGAUCGUUGUAUCCUGGGAGACGAUUGUCAACAAACUGUAAGCACUAGUGCGAGACAAAUUUGUCUUAAGGAUAUAGAGUCAAAAUCUAGCCUCGAUCAACCGUUUGUAAGAUUCAAUAUUUACUUACCUUCUCGUUUAUUUAUUAUACAUAAUUAUUUGACCAUACAUUUGUGAUAAUUCCAAAAUAACAAUCUUAAGACGAAUUUUUUUUUUUAAUCUUUUGCUUAUAUCUGUAUUUUUAAUACAGUUAAUAACAUGGCCUUUACAAAUAUUAUUGAUACCCCUGUUGUUACACCUACUACUACCCAUGGUGAGAAACCAGAGAAAUUCACUAGGUUGGACUUCAAGCGGUGGCAACAAAAGAUGUUGUUUUAUCUCACAACAAUUAACUUGGCCAAAGUGUUGCAUGAAGAUGCACCUACCUUAAAGGAGGGAGAGACUAACAAGCAAAUUGUGGCAGCAGUUGAAGCAUGGAAACAUUCAGAUUUUCUAUGCAAAAAUUACAUCCUUAAUGGACUUGACAACACGAUGUGUAAUGUGUAGAGUCAAGUGAAGACAACCAAGGAGUUGUGGGAGUCUUUGGAGAAGAAAUACAAGACUGAAGAUGCUGGCAUGGAAAAAUUCAUAGUUGGCAGAUUUCUAGAUUACAAAAUGGUUGACUCCUAAACAGUGACAAGCNNNNNNNNNNNNNNNNNNNNNNNNNNNNNNNNNNNNNNNNNNNNNNNNNNNNNNNNNNNNNNNNNNNNNNNNNNNNNNNNNNNNNNNNNNNNNNNNNNNNAAGAUGCCAUUAUAGUGAGUCCUUUCAAGUUGCAGCAAUUGUUGAAAAGUUUUUACCAUCUUGGAAGGACUUCAAGAAUUAUCUGAAACAUAAGCGCAAGGAAAUGGGGCUUGAGGACUUGAUUGUUAGACUGAAAAUUGAGGAAGAUAAUCGUGUCUCUAAGAAGAAAGUGGGAAAAGAUCCCAUGGAGUCCAAGGCAAACUUGGUGGAACCAAAGGCUAAUAAAAAGAGAAAGCACUUUGGUGAAGGUCUAAGUCAAGGGAAGAACAAAUACAAGAAGUUUGCUGGGAAGUGUUACAUUUGCAGUAAGCAAGGCCAUAGGGCCAAGGAUUGUUGCUUGAAAGGAUAAAGUAAGGAAAAUAAAGCACAUGUGACUGAGGAAGAGGAGUUGGCAAACAUGCUUUAUGCAUUGGUACUGUUUUUUUGAGGAGUUGGCAAACAACUUUGCCUGAAGAGGAGUGAGUCUAGGAAUGCAUCAUUUUUUGAAAAUAUUUUUCCGUGUAAAGAAAAGCAAGAAGUAAGUUCAAAUAAGGGAACUUAUGAUACUGCAAAUGGUAAUCAUCAAAAUGAGGAAGAACCAAGACGUAGUAAGAGAGCCAAGAAGACAAAGUCUUUUGGCCUAGAUUAUCUAACUUAUAUGUUAGAUAACGAACCCAAGACAUUCAAGGAAGCAAUGUCAACACCAAAAGCCCCAUUUUGGAAAGAGGCUAUCAAUAGUGAAAUUGAAUCCAUCAUGCAUAACCACACAUGGAAAUUGGUGGAUUUACCACCAGGAAAUAAACCUUUGGGUUGCAAAUGGAUCUUCAAGAAAAAGAUGAAGCCUGAUGGAACAAUAGAUAAGUACAAGGCUAGAUUUGUAGCCAAAGGAUUUAAACAAAAGGAAGGCCUUGAUUUCUUUGAUACAUAUUCACCAGUUACGAGAAUAACAUUUAUUAGAGUGUUAAUUGCAAUCACAACAUUGCAUAAUUUGGAAAUUCAUCAAAUGGAUGUUAAGACAACCUUUUUAAAUGGUGAGUUAGAAGAAGAAAUAUAUAUGGAACAACCUGAAGGGUCUGUUGCUCCUGGACAAGAAAAGAAGGUGUGUAAGCUGAUAAAGUCCCUAUAUGGGCUAAAAUAAACACCAAAACAAUGGCAUGAGAAAUUUAACAAAGUAACGUUGUCAAAUGAUUUUAAAAUUAAUGAAUGUAAUAAAUGUGUAUAUACAAAGAAUACACAAAAUGAGUAUGUCAUUGUGUGCCUAUAUGUGGAUGAUAUGUUAAUUAUUGGUAGCAAUAAUGAUGUCAUUAAAGUUACAAAGAAAAGGCUGACCAGUUAUUUUGAUAUGAAAGAUAUGAGUGUCACAGACGUGAUCUUAGGUAUAAAAAUAGCUAAGACAUCUAGUGGACUAAUAUUUUCUCAAUGUCAUUGCAUUGAGAAAAUUCUUAAAUGGUUUAACCAAUAUGAUGAUAGUCCAAUUAAGACCCCAGUACAUUUAAAUCUACAUUUAGCUAAAAAUAAUGGUCCAGCAAUUGACCAGUUGGAAUAUUCUCGUAUCAUUGGUAGUUUAAUGUAUGUCAUGAACUGCACGCAUCCAUACAUAGCCUACGCAGUUAAUAAACUAAGUAAGUUCACUAAUAAUCCGGGAAAAGACCAUUGGAAGGCGUUGAUUAGGGUUCUUAGAUAUCUAAGAUACACCCUAAACUAUGGACUUCAUUAUUUAAGGUAUCCGAUCGUACUAGAAGGAUAUAGUGAUACAAAUUGGAUAUUUGGUACGAAUGACUCAAAGUCCACAAGUGGAUAUGUAUUCACAAUUGGUGGCGCUGUGAUAUCAUGGAAGUCAUCUAAACAAACAUGUAUUGCAAGAUCAACGAUGGAAUCUGAAUUUAUUGCUUUAGAUAAAAGCAGGGGAAGAAGCAGAAUGAAUUCAUAAUUUUCUAGAAGACAUUCCAUGUUGGCCAAACCCAAUGCCUGCAAUAUGUAUACAUUGUGAUAGCCAAUCAGCGAUUGGAAGGACACAAAAUAGCAUGUACAAUGGUAAGUCUCGACACAUCCGUCGCAGACAUAAUACUAUAAGACAGUUACUUGCAAAUGGAAUUAUUUCCAUUGAUUACGUUAAGUUAAAGGACAACCUGGUGGAUCCACUAACUAAAGGAUUGUCUAGAGAUCAAGUAAACUGCUCAUCGAGAGGAAUGGGAUUAAGGCCUAUCACUAAAGAGUUUCAUAAUGGAAACCCAACCUAGCUGAUUGGAGAUCCCAAGAUCUAGGUUCAAUGAGGACAACUAAAUUAUGAAAUACUCUGUGAAGAGCACUAGGGAAAAAUAAAUUCCCACCCAUUCCUAUGGUGAACUAGUGCUAUACAAAAUGUGUUUAGGAUAAGCUAUGCUUUUAAUGAUUCUAAUAAUUUGAAAGAGUUCAAGUGGAGUAUGGUAGAAUACUCGCCAUAGGAAUCACCAAUGUGAGUGUGAAAUGGGGCCGUUUCUAUGAGAAUUUUUAAGGCUGAAAUUCUCUAAAGCACUCAUUAAACCGGGAAUCGUUCAGGGCUAAAAUAAACACAAUCGUGAGAAUCAUUGGUUAUUCGGAAAGGAAUUGUGUGAAUACUAUUGUCUUGAUUUACAUCAAUAGUUGAACAGUUCAAGACAUCACAUUCACUGAUUAGCUAGUAAAUCCGAUAGUAUUUCACUAAGGAAGGUUCAAAGCUACAAACUACCUAUCCUGAUGCAAUCACUUUCCAAUUUUGUACUCUCUUGAUUGUUUAGUUUUCCAUUUGCCUUUUUUAAGUCAAUUUUCAUUCAUGUGGGGGAUUGUUAGGAUAUUUAUAGGUGAAUGGAAAUUAAGACAUAUCGUUUCAAUUAGACACAACUCUUCCUAAUGGACACAACUUGUGUCAAAGGAUAUGUCAAGUAUUUAAGACACAUCUCUUCUAAGAGUCACCAGAAAACCUAUAAAUAGGGCCCCCCCUCCCCCAUGACAUUUCUCAUUCAUUCCAUCAUCAAUUCUCUGCACUUCUUCUCCUUUCUUCCAAGUGCUUGGUAUUCAAGAGAGUUCAAGUCAUCAAGUGAUUCGUUGUUUCUUGUGAUUUGGAAGAUGAUUGUCAACAAACCAUAAGCACUAGUGUGGGACAAAUUCGUCUUAAGGACAUAGAGUCAAACUCUGGCCUCGAUCAACCGUUUCUAAGAUUCAAUAUUUACUUACCUUCUCGUUUAUUUAUUAUAAAUAAUUUUUUGACCAUACAUUUGUGAUAAUUCCAGAAUAACGGUAGCGACAAAUAGGAAUGACAUUGCCAUUAUAGUAAUAGUAUAUUGGAUGUAGUGAUACACGGGAACACCAUUAUUAUUUUAUUUAUUUAGCAUCAUCAUCAUCAUCAUGUUCUUUUGGAUCAAGUCCAAACUCCUCACAUGUUGGACGCUUUUUUGAGGGUUCUGGGAUCUAAAUUAAAGAUGCAGAUGGUUGUACAUGGUAUAGGCAGCAUUGAAUUAUAUGAACCCCCUCGAUUGCAUCUUAGCCUAUCAAUCUUGCUGAAAUGAAACUUCAGUUGGAUUGGGGACAUAGAGGUAUUUGAUCCAAUUCUUUCCGCCAUAAAAUCUAGAGUGUUGGAAGCCCUGGGUUGUUCUAUUCUAUCAGUCAAUGAGCAAGGUUGGCGACAAGCUUCAAAGCCUCACUGUUCUUCAUGCCACAAUGUGAGGCAGAGUCAUACGAUAAUCUUGUACAGGCGAAUUGGAGAACAGAGCGUUUGAAUAAUAUUGUGUUGUUUGGAGACAGCUUUAGGACAUAUGAACAGCAUGUAUCAGAGUUUAGGAGCUCAACUCUUGUUGAUUCCUCAAGGCAUAUCUUGGCUGUUAGAAAGUUCACGCGUGAAUUUGCAAUCAAGACAGUUUCAGAUGAUUAUUUUGGAGCCUUCCAUGAUUCAAGCUGGCAUUUCUUGAGCCUUGUUGCUUGAGCAGCUUUGCAGUUCACAAGCAAGACUGAAUGAUGAUUGAAAACAAUCUUAUUUCUAAUUUUUCAUUGCAUUCAAAACAAGUUUACUGUUAUCUUAAUACCUGCAACAACCCGGAUCAAGUAGAUUAGUAAUCGACACUAUUUCAAAGUCUGUAUUAUCACUAAUAUGCUCUUGGAGAUGCCUCCAAUCUAUCUUGAUUUCGCACAUUGUUUCUCAUUCAUAUCUAUCACAUUUAUUUCAGAAACAUUUGGGGAGGUUGGCUUCUAGUCCAACCAAUCUACCUAUGCUGAAAGCAACACACAUUUUAUUCAUUACAUGAAAAUAUAUUUUAGUCUUCUCUUGGAAGCCAUAACAACAGCAGAGGAAAUCAUUUCUUGUUGUUCCCAUUUAGAUCGACCAGUAACUGAUGGCCGAAACAUUAGGGCAUCAGCCAGAUUACUAGGUGGGAGGGGAACCGACGAUAUGGGCAGGAUGUCGACACGUCACGUGACCAUGAUGGGCAUGUGGGGAGCAGCUUGGAGAUAUCCCGCCAUCCAAGUGUACAGUUUUAUCUUCUGCAAGAACCCAAACAAGAAAUAACUUUUGCAGGUCUGCAUAAAGUAGGUACAAUAACCGGAAACCCCAUGACCAUGAUUGAGGAAAAGUACUUACCAUAUGGAGCAACUUGGAUCAAUUCCCGCGAUAGGGUUUCCUGAGAAAGGAAGAGAAGUAAAACUGAAAGAAGAAUGCAAAUGGUGGGAGAAACCUUGUGAAACACCAUCUUGUGAGGUUGUAGAGAAAUUGUUGUGCCUUCCUCGACCUUUAAAUAGACUGAGGGAGAGGAGAAAAAAAUGAGUGUGCUUUGAGUGGGAAAAUGGUUCAGAAGAACACCAGUUGACGGAGGACCAUCUAGGAUUCCACUUUCAAGCAUCCUUGCACCUUCCCAAGUCAAAAAAAAAAACAAGUUUCCUUGCACCUUCCCAUGUCAAAGAAAAAAAAAAAGCAAGAAAAUUAUUCUCAGGUCUCCCUUCUAAUAAAUGAACACAGUACUCUGACAGCUACACACUCCCGUUCUUAUCUUUAGUUGCCUUUUUUUUUUUUUUUUUUUCCUUUUUGGUUUUUUCAUCAAUUCUUAGAUAGGACAACAAUUAGUUGUUGGUGAACCAACUUUUUCAAAUGAAGGAGCCCAAAGCAUACAAUAAAGUCCAACAAAACCAUGGCAAAAUCCAAAAGGGAAAAAACUUUUGAAGUUUAGAACAAAUUUCAAUAAAACCACAAACAAUACCAAAGCAGCCUCAAAUCUAUCCACAUAUAGGACUUUUUUGGUAAUUUAAAAAAGUUAUGUUUAAAUUAUUGUAGUAAAAAAAGUUAUUACAAAUAUAUGGUAGUUUUUGCCACCUAUGAGAGAGGAGAUGGAGAGAGGAGAGAGGGUGAACGGAUAAAUUUUUUUUUAAACCAAAAUCAUCUUUUCAAAUUUCAAAAAAUUUUAAAAGGGAAAUCGUUUCUUCAAGAGACGAGUUACAUGAAAAAAAAUAUAUAUAUUUAAAAAAAAAUUCCCAAAUUAAAAAAAAAAAAAAAUUCCUCGAGGAACUCGUCUCUUCAAGAGACGAGUUCCCAUGAAAAAAAUAUAUUUUUUAAAAAAAAAUUCCUCAAGGGAACUCGUCUCUUGAGGAAUCGUUUUUUAAAAUUUUUUUUUAUAAUAAUUUGGGAAUUUUUUUUUUAAUGGGAACUUGUCUCUUGAAGAGACGAGUUCCCUUGAGGAAUUUUUUUUUUUUUUUUUUUUUUUUUUUUUUAAAAUUUGGGAAUUUNNNNNNNNNNNNNNNNNNNNNNNNNNNNNNNNNNNNNNNNNNNNNNNNNNNNNNNNNNNNNNNNNNNNNNNNNNNNNNNNNNNNNNNNNNNNNNNNNNNNAAUUUUUUUUUUUUUUUUUUUUUUUUUUUUUUAAAAUUGGGGAAUUUAAAAAAAAAAAUUUUUUUUUUAUGGGGAAUUCUUUUUUGGAAGGGAGGGGUUCCCUGGGGGAAAGGGUUUUUUUUUUUUUUUUUUUUUUUUUUUUUUUUUAAUUUGGGAUUUUUUAAAAAAAAAUAUAUUUUUUUUCAUGGGAACUCGUCUUGAGGAAUUGUUUUUUUUUUUUUUUUUUUUAAUUUGAGAAUUUUUUUUAAAAAAAAUAUUUUUUUUCAUGGGAACUCAUCUCUUGAAGAGACGAGUUCCCUUGAGGAAUUGUUUUUUUUUUUUUUAAUAAUUUAGAAAUUUUUUAUAUAUAUAUAUAUUUUUUUAAUGGAACUCGUCUCUUGAAGACACGAGUUCCUUGAGGAAUUUUCUUUUACCACUCAAACGUCUUCUUAUUCUCUCUCAUGCGUAAUACCCAUAUUUUUCCUUAACUUUUCCUCCACUCAAAUAUCCUUCCAUCCUCUCUCUUAUGCAUGCAGCCAUAUGUUUUGCUCCCAAACCUAUUUAAUGUGGGGACCACAUGUUUUGCUCUCAAAUCUCUUAAAUAUAUGGUGGUGGGGUGAUUUUCUUUUCUUUGCCAUCUAACCACUCCUAAUAACAAAGUUCCCUUGAGGAAUUUUUUUUUUUUUUUUUAAAUUUGAGAAUUUUUUUAAAUAUAUAUAUAUAUAUUCAUGGAACUCAUCUCUUGAAGAGACGAGUUCCCUUGAGGAAUUGUUUUUUUUUUAUUUUUAUAAUUUGGGAAUUUUUUUUAAAUAUAUAUAUAUAUAUAUAUUAAUGGAACUCAUCUCUUUAAGAGACGAGUUCCCUUGAGGAAUUGUUUUUUUAUUUUUUAUUUAUUUUAUAAUUUAGGAAUUUUUUUAAAUAUAUAUAUAUAUAUUUUUCAUGGAACUCGUCUCUUCAAGAGACGAGUUCCAUUAAGGAUUUUGUUUUUUAAUAAAUGGGGAAUUUUUAAAAAAAUAUAUAUAUAUUUUUUUCAUGUAACUCGUCUCUUGAAGAGACGAAAUCUUUUGAAAUUUGAAAAAAUGAUUUUGAUUUAAAAAAAAAAUUAUCCGUUCACCCUCUCUCCUCUCUCCUAGGUGGCAAAAACUACCAUAUAUUUGUAAUAACUUCUUCUACUACAAUAAUUUAAGCAUUACUUUUUUAAAUUACCGUACUAUUGAGAAAAGUCCUCCACAUAUAACAAUGACGGCUAAUUCAAAAAGAGUUUUCAAAAUAAGGACUUUUGUGAAAGCUUCUUUUAACUUUUUGUUGGUAAUUUUUAUAUGGGUUACAAAAAUUCUAUUGUAUAUUAUCAUAUCUUAUUUUAAAUCUUUACCUUAAAAUAUGUGAUUAAAUUUGAAUUGUGAACAAAAGUAUAAAAGAAAUGAAAAAUAUAAAUAAAUGAGAUUAAUAUACAAAAGAAAUGGAACAUCAAUCUUGAAAAUGAAAGAAUUAUUUAUUUAUAAGCAAAUAAGAGUUAUGUGGCUAGCUAUAUGGUCAUGUUUAAUUAAUUGUCACAAAAAAGUGAUUUUUUAAUACUAUAAAAUAAAUUAUUUUUAUGUCUUUAGCAUAAACAUGAUUAAAUACAACCAAGAAACAACAAUGCGACUUUGUUCAUAUCUUAUUUUGUAAAAUCCAUGUGAAUCAAUCAUAUUAAAUCACAUGUCUAAUAUAUGUCACGUUAUGCCUAAGGCCUUUUAAGCAGUAGGUUUUGGCCUAAUUCUAUAAAAUUUACGGCUAUAUGAGCUAUUUAAUCUUAUUUAUGAAGUGAAGUCCACCCCCUCCCUCCUUCCCCCCACCCCCCACCCACCCACAAUGCAUUCCAUCAUACGUCUACUAAUUAGAAAAUGUGAGUCCACCCCCUCCCUCCUUCCACCAACAACCCCCCCCCCCCCCCAAAGAUUUCCAUCAUANNNNNNNNNNNNNNNNNNNNNNNNNNNNNNNNNNNNNNNNNNNNNNNNNNNNNNNNNNNNNNNNNNNNNNNNNNNNNNNNNNNNNNNNNNNNNNNNNNNNUCUCGCUCUUGAUCUCUAAUAUAUUGACAUAUCCAUAUCCUUCCCAUAUAUCUCUUACAUCACAAUACCAUAUCAUUUGAAUUUGGGCACCAAUCUUCAAACAUAUUCUUGGGUUAUCUGGAUGCCUAUAAAACAUGCAUGGAUGACUUUUUCAGAUGCCCAUAAGACAUGGAUGACUACCUAUAAUGGAUGUUGAGGGGGCUCUCCUAUCAUACCUCUUUGUGAAAGUGACACUAUGUGCACAUGGAAUAACGCCCAUAUGCUAAUACACUUGCAUGAGUUAAGAAUAGAGUUUGGGGAGUCUAAAAUAAUUUAAAAUUCAAAUAGUAAACUAAUUAAUAUUAGAAAUUUAUGGACAAAAUUUGGUCUUAAAUAAUUUUAUUAUUUUUCUAUUACAUGGAAUCCUUAUUUUUAUUUAUUUUUUCUAACCAAAUAAACUCAAAAUUAAACAAGACUUUAUGUAUUGGAUUUAUUAAUGAAUCUAGUAAUUUUUGAAAAUCAAAUAGUGAACCGAUGAAUAAAAAUUUAUUCAUAAUGGCUCUAUUUUUUAUUGCACAUAAUUAUAUUCAUAUAAAUUUUCUCACUAUAAAAAUAAACUUCAAAUUAAAUGUCACUUUGUAUUGAAUUUAUUAAUAAGUUUAACAAUUUUUAAAAAUAAUUUGGAACUUAAAAAAUAGAUCCAAUCAUUGAAAAAAAUAAUAUAUCAAAAUUAAUAUAUUAUGAGUUACGACUUUACUAUUUCUUCUAUACACAUAACUAUGUUUUUUCAAAUUUAGAUAAAUAAAUUAUAAAUUAAGCGAGACAUAAUUAAUAUUUUAAAUUUUUAAUAAAAUAAUUAAUUUUUAAGAAUAAUUUUGAAUUUAAAAAUAAUCGAUUUAAUUGAUCACAGAUUAAAUCAAAAUAUUCUAAAAUAUUAAGUUUGUAAGUCAAUAUUAAAUGUGUACAUGAAAUGAAAAACUUGAUUAAUUUAUAUGUUAAAAAAAUUAAAUUUUAUUCAUUAUUCAUUGUAAAUAAAAUAUUGUUAAAAAUUAUUAUUAUUCAUUAUUAAACAAUGAUGCAACUUUGUUCACUCUCUAUUUUGUAAAAUCUACGUAGAUCAGUCAUAUUGAAUUAUAUGUCUAAUAUAUAUCAAGUGGGUUCCAUCAUAAGAAGACAGAUUACAAAAUGUCACCUAGCUUGGUAUGUAAAAAUAAUACAUCUUCCACAUUACUCUCCAUUAACAUUGAUACUUAGUGCAUCUCAUCCUUGAUCUCCAAUAUAUAGACAAAUCCUGUCAUAUGGCUCUUACGCCAUAGUGUUGUAUUAUUUGAAUUUGAGCUCCAAUCUUUAAACAUAUUCUUGAGUUAUCUGCAUGUCCAUGAAACAUGGAUGCCUUCAUACCUACCUCUUCUGCUAUUAGUACUACCAACAAGAGCUCUACAAGCUAAAAGCACUCACUCGAAUCACUUCCAAACCUCUUUGUAAUGUUUCUGGAUAGUAGCCCAUUCUAGAGAAAUUUUUUAAAUUAAAAUCUCUAAAAUUAUGCAGCCAGACCUCUAGUGGACCAGUCAAAAGCUUGAGCUCUUAAGCAUGAAUCCUCAUGUUUGGGUCUUGAGAAGGAGCCACUUUAUACCAAAAUUCCGGACCUUAGAAGAGGACUCUUCCCAAGACACUGCUUCCACAGGACAAUAACUUCUGUACUGAGAUUUCAAACAUAUUGUAGACUCCGCAUUUCGGCUCAUCUCAAUGCGUUUCCCACUCGAUGGCGAGCUCGAUUUUUAUUUGAAAAAUUGAUUUUUAUUCGAUUAAGAAAAUGAUUUGGAGUCGCCACUUAUUUUUGUUUUAUUUUUAAAGGGUAAACAAAAUAAGAAAGAAAAACCCUAAAUGUGACUCCUUGUUUUGGAAAAGGUGGUCUGUUAAAAACCGGAUCGGGUUCGGGGGUCAGGUUACUUAUCGGGAAGGUACGGUACGGACCGUAGCACCCCUCUAAGUCCCUAAUGUCGGGUCUCUACUAAUAGAAUGAAGCUGACGUGGCAGUCAACAAGAAAAUCGAUGAAUACUCAAAUCGAUCAUGCACAAUAUGAGAAGCAAAACACAUAUAAAGAAUGAGCAAAAUAUGAAUAGAUGCGUACCUGGGCGGCAAUCACGAACGCGCUAUCAUGAAACAUGGUUAGUGAACAAUGAACAUAUAUAAUUAAGCGCAUAUCAAGGAAUAGAGUAAAUCGAUCACAUGUGGCCAAUGAAGCAAACAAUCAGUUAAUCAAUCUUGAAAUCUCAUAUGUAGGGCCCCCACCAAAGCCCAUUUUAUAUUGCAUGAAUUAAUUUCAUAAGUUCCAUUAAUUGGAAUUACAAAAUUGAAUUCAUGUUUUAUUUCAAAACGUUUUAAAAUUAUUGAAAUCAUGAAAAUUGCAUGCCGAGGAAAAUGACGAUGAAUUUUAUUAGAAAGUGGAUUUUUGAAACCUAAAAUUCUACGAAUGAACAAAAAAACUUGGAGUUAAGAUUACUAAAACACUCAAAAUAUUAUUUGAAUAAAAAGAAUUCGGAAAAUUAUUUGAGAAAAGAGAAUAUGGAAACUGCUUUUUAAAAAAAAAUUAAAGAUGAUAAGAUGGGGAAAAUGACACUUGGGUCAAAGGUGGCCAUGCCACGAGUGCUUUCCCGUGAGCUGUCUUCAUAUGAAUGUGGUGCAGCUUCCCUUUGGCUUUAUCUUCAUAACACUUACGUCAAAUAUCCGUGCAAGGGUAAUAAUGGAACACUAUACGUGACCUUAAAUUCAUUUUUCUCAUCUUCUGUACAUCAACGGGAACCUUGCCAAAAGCUUGAGCCACAUCAGUAUAAGACAGAACACCUAAUUCACCACAUAUAUUCCUUAUUUCUUCAACCGUCAUCACCGACAUGAGCCCAGUAUCGGACUGAUUUGCGGACUGCAUUAAAUCAAUAUUAACAUACCCACCAGACCAUGCAAACAUAUAUGUGAUCUCAAAACCUUCCUGUUGUAAAUGAGGGCGAGAGUCACGAACACACUUGUGUUCCAUUUGUGUGGUGAUGACAUGGCGCUGCUUCUCAUUGUAGAAGCGCACGAUGCCUUUGAUGGAGAUGCUGUUGGAUUCAAUGGAGUCAUUCCCAAUGGUUCAGGUAGUAAAAAUCAUAAUCCUCACAUACUUUCUAGGCAAAUAUUCCCCUUUCCAUGAACUGUCAACUGCAUGCUCAGUAUCCUGUUGCUUCCCAAAGGCUUCGCCAGCACUAUCAACUUCAGCAAGCAUCUCAGACGAUAACGAGAUAUAACUUAAGCGUGAACCAUAUGAUUCACACACAAUCACACCCAUAUCGACAUUCAUCCAACCCCUCUGAACACAAACCAUUGACAACCUUUAGCUUUCCAAACCGAUUUGAGAGCUUAAGGAUAGCGGAACACUUUAAUAAAUCUCUUCUCUCCCAGCCAUGUCUGAAUUUCCUUCCACAAGUUCUGCUACAAACCCAGCAUUGACCAAGAAAAGAUUUCAAGUUUGGUGGGCAUCUAAUGAGUAUCGGCAUGGUGGAAAUAUGAAUAGGGACGUGAAAGAUUUAAUGGGUAUAAAAUGGUGAUGGGAAAUGGGUUAGAUAUGAGUAUAGAGAGAUGAUCAGUGGGCAUGAAAAGAAUGGGUACGAAGAACGGGUAUGGUGGGGUAUGGAAUGAGAGAUUUGAUAUGAGUAUAGAGAGAUGGUCAGUGGGUAUGAAAAGAAUGGGUAUGAAAGAUAGAAUGAUGAAGGAUGCGUUUAAUGGGCAUUUUGAAAACCAAAAGUGAAGGCAUGUAGGCGGGUGUGAUUCUGAAGAGAGAACCAUUGGACUUCUUCAGUGGGCGUCGCCGGAGACGAAACUCGCGACUAUUGCUCCUCUGAGCUUCCUUAGCACCACGGAUGGUAUCAGUCAGACCCGAGAUCCUCCUGCAGCAGUGAACAAGGCAUCCAAACACUUGUAUCCUUCUCAAAUAUUCAUUCUGAAUGGUCAAGGUCAGCUAGACUGGAGCAGUUCGGUGAAGACAGCAGCAAGAUUGCACUCACGGCAAGGUGCAAUGGCAUCAGGUUCGUCAGCCAAACAUCAAUCAUAUAUGACAUAAAAAUCACAACUCAGAGCCCAUGAUUUCCGCCAUGAGACGACAUGAAAAUAUCACUCUUCUCAUAAACGAUAUAGUCAAUGGCAGUCAUGAAGGAGACUUUCUCUGAAAAUGGCUGUAGUUCACUAGGCAAGGCAAGGUCCUCCUUAUUGUAGAAAUUAGGAAACUCUUGAGUUAAUGGCAACACGGCUUCUUUCUCGUUGAUCUGUAUAAUAUCCUUAGUGACAAACUGAUCCAGAUCAACCACGGCUGUAGUAUUUCCUCAAGGUACAACUUGAGCAUUACCCUGCUUCCUCCCUAUCCGAGAUCUUUGCGCAAACCCAAACCAUCUGGAGGAGCUUUAUUCAUCCUCAACCCCCAUAAGCUUAGCUCUAUGAUAGCUUUACCAUGAAUCCCUCAGGUAGGGACAUACAGCCUGAUGUAUCACAAGGUAGGAUACCGAGAACAGGGGAAUGGCAAAACAAAACAGAGCACAAACCAAUGAAACCAAUAAAACAACCAGAGCCAUGUUUCAUGUUUAGACAACAGGCUUGGCUAUAGGUGAGUGAUCUAGAAUACGUUCUAUGGAGAUAAGAACAAAAUAAGACACCUAUAUGAUGCAUAGUGAAAACUAAAACAGAGCAGUAUCAUUCUCAAAUCACCCCAAGGAAAAUAGAUGAACUAGCCAUAAUAAAAUCCAUGGACCAAACAGGAAUCGUAAAACUGAACGUAUAAUCGAACAAAUCCACAGAAAAUAUCAAGAAAAAGGGAAUGAGACUAUAGUGUGAUAAAGAAAAUCCAAGGAUACAGGGCAGUCAUACCUCUCUUUUCUUCUUCCUCAAGCUCUCUGUCUUCUCCCAAGGCUCCUCCGGAAUCUUCUUUUCCUUUCGCUUGCAGCCUCCCAACUUUCUUUCUAGCUCCCCAAAAAAAAUAUCUCCCUCCGGUAGCCAAGGCACACCUCUCUCUUGCAGCUCCUCCCAAAAUAUCCUAACUGCAGUACUCCCCAAAAAAAAAACCUCACACAGCUGCCUCUCUCCCUCAGAAAGAACCUCUCCAAAAAUCUCCUCCUCUCUCUAAAGCUCUCUUCUCCACCCAACAAUCUCUGCCGAAACAGCCACCAAAAGCCCCCCUACUACUCUGCAGCCUCUGAAUAUCAAGCUUGCUCCUCCAACAAUCUCUGCAGAAACAGCCACCUCCCCUGCACCCUUCUCCUCAUGCAGCUGGCCACCCCCCCUAACGGAAAACACGCUCUCUUCUUCUAGAAGAAUCCUAUGCCACUUGUUAAACCUCCAUUGGCAUCCUAAAAGCAACAUCUGAUUCCGCACCAGCCUCUCAAGAGAAGACACGUGGUGGAGCAAAGCUCUUCCACGUGGCAAAAUGAGCAGUUGCUAGAAUGGCCCCAAAUGGGGGGUCUACACAUAUGCUUUUCCAUUUCAUUUUCAAAAAAUGAAAAACAGGUUUGGGAAACAGAACCGGUGAAGCCUCCCUUAAUAUUCUCUUGCUGAGUUCUCUGUAGGGUUUUCUUGUUCAUGGAUUUGCAUUUGGGUUGUCAUAUGUGUUUGCUUUGGUAUUCUUCCAUGCUAAAAUGGAGAAUGUUUCAGAAGUCUUCAUCCUCUGUUAGUUGUUGUUGAUUUUGAGGUGGGUGAUCGAGAUGUUUUUGUGCUUUUGAAUUUGUGAUGUGCUUUUCAAUUGAACCUAUACGUUUGGGAGUGGGUUACAUGGAAGGACCUUGUGUGAUAUCACUACCAACCUUUUUUAUUUAGAAAUUAGCCAUGAUGAUGAAAGAAUAGUAUAACAAUUGUGUUGUCCUCCAUUUUUGUUUUCCUUUUUCUGGUGAUACUGUUGCAUCAUUGGGUAGACCCCUAAUUAACACAGAGAGUUAACCCCUACAUAGGAUCAUCCCCCAAAAUUUACAUCGUUGAUUGCUUUCCAAAUCACUCUUUGAAAUGGCAAUAUGGACAUGAUAUGACGCUUUUGACAGCUUCUGAUACCGCUUCUUUUUUAUCGGGGUAGUGACCCUAAAUGAGUCAUGAAUCCUUCAAUGUAGACUCUGCCUGAGUGGUUUCUAGGAUCAUGCAUAUGUUUUACAUAACCUUGAUUUUGUGCUUCGUGUACUGAAUAAUACCUCAUUUCUUCUUUGACAAUAAUUUCUUUUCAAGUAUAAGUCUUUAAUGCAAUGUUAUCAAAGGCAAUCGCUUGGGUUGCCUAGAAAAUAAAGUCGCCUCUUGAAAACCCAAACAAGGCGGUUUCAAAGAGGCGACACCUAGGCAGUCGCCUUGGGAUAAGACACAAGGUAUAGAGGUGAUCGCUUUUGAUUAUGAGUUAAGAUUUAACAUACUUUGAUUGAAAUUUCAUUCAAUCUAAUAUAAAAUGAAAUAUUAUAUUAUCAGUCAUAGUGAUAAUGAGAUGGAAAGCUAUUAAUCUAGUUUCGAUGGAAGUAAUGACAAUUUUAAUUUCAAUUAUGACCAUAAUAAUGAUGCCCAAAGUUUCUCUAUGAUGUUCAUUCCCUUAUUUUGUUUUAUAAUACAAUUUUUAGUAGUUUGAAAAAGUAGAAUAUGUAUUUAAAUAGGAUGGAUAUCUCUAAACAAUAUAAUGUUUCUUAUGAUGUAGGAUAUAAUAUUUAACAUUUUGAAUAAUUAUUACUAUUUUGUUAAUUUAAUAAGAUAUCAUGAGGGAUGAAAAAUUAAUAGUGUAAUAGAUUGUUGAAGAUGACGUUUAUAUUGGUUAAGUAUCAAAUAGGUAAAUGUAUGUAUAUUUUUUUAUUGUUUUACUAUAGUUAGACUGUAGCCUUAUUUUUUGUCUUUCACCUUGGGUGAAAAAGAGUUUUAUUGCCUUGGCAUUGCCUUAUGCUUUUGACAAUAUUGCUUUAAUAUCUUCAAAGACUAAAAAGCCUAUUUGGUUUGUGAAAACACACAGCAACAAUUUUCUGUAUUUAUAUUCCAUCAAAUUAUCUAUAUGCCUUUGCUUUGGGGUUGUUCUUAAUAUACCUUGAAAGUAAAGAGAUAGUAUGGGUUGCCUUGGUUUUCUUUGUGCCUAAGAGAAGGAAGCAACAAGAGAAAAAAAAACAACCAUAUAUUGCAAAAAGUGGUGCAAUUACCCGAUAUUUUAAUGCAUAUCAAUGGCCGUAUACAAGCACUUACAAUAUAUUUAGAAGUUGAUUUUAUUGAGUUUUUCAUAUCACCUUUAUGUUGUCUUACUUUGCUGUUUUAAGUGGAUAACUUUGUAUAAAUGUUGGAGUUCCAGUGGUUUAUGAGUCUUGUGAUGAGACCACACUCUUUUAUCCAUUUUUAUAGUAUCAUAACAUGGGAUCACCUUAAUAUUUUUAUUGUAAAGUAUGGAUUCAAAUAGUAUGUGUUUGAGUUUUUUUGUUUUUUCAAUUUAAAGGGAAGUAGAUUUUGUAGGGACCCCUCCCCUUGGGAAACACGUGGCACGCAGCUCAUAGUGACGCGUGGCACGUGUUAUCAGCCGGACCAUCAUCAUCCGGAUUCCCUUAAGGAUAUGCAUGGUGCAGUUAUCCUAUCCGGACCGCUUCAAGGAAAGGCAAACGACGUUUCAUCUUCUCCUAUCCAAGGAAGAGCAAACGACGCUGGCAGAGCGUACACAUCCGGAUAGCCUCCACAACACAUCCGGAUAAUCAGCAUGAGCCAUCCGGAUAUAAAUCUUCUGGAUGGUCAAUUAAAGUAAAGCGAGUCUUACACGCAAUCACAACAAGCAGCCAUGGCCCACAUCCCAUCACCUGCAGAAUGAGAAGACAAGAGGAAGUGACAGCAAGUCACUUCCCACGAUCAUUCUGCAUAAUCGCUUCCCACGAUCUCUGACGGCCGCAUCACCUACCAUAGUCUCUGACAGCCAUUCGUAGGAUGAUAGUGCUCCUACUAACACCUAUUGUCAUCAUCACAACAGAAAAGAUCUCCUCACCAUUAAUGAGAGGAACAGUACCCCUGAAGCUGGAUAUAUAUACCUUCGCACGAAGAAGAAAAGGGGACCUCCUGGUAAUCUCUUGAUACCUAGAAAAAGGCCAACUGAUUUAUAUAUCUCUUUCUCACCAUGGCUAACAAAACCAUCGGAGGGUGCGUCCGGACACCCUGUCCGGAUGCCUUUUGCAGGUGCAACCACUGAAUCAAGAACCCCUUGUGUGUUGAGAAUCACGUAUCCAUCCAUAUAGCAGCAACGUGGACCAUCGGGUACGCGAGGCGACAACAUUGGCGCCGUCUGUGGGAAACUUCUACUUUUUAUUUUGAUUCAGUCACUAGCAAAGAUGGCCACACCUUCCCAAAGUCGAUCAUCUGGUAGAGAGGAAGAAGAUAAUUACGAAUGGCGUCAAGCCAUCGAAAAAAGACAGUUGGCGAGCGAAAAACAGCUAAAAGCUCUCCUCCAGGAGACGGAGAGGUUAAGGGAAGAAAACGCUGUGUUACGCAUUCAAGCCUCAACAUCAGGACCUCCUCGUCGUCAGCGCUCAAAAGGCCAGGUGGCAAACUCAAAGCCAGAGCCAGAAUCAAUAUAUCCUGGGUCAACAGGAGCUAUCCCAGGAACGUACAACGCAAGGCCCUAUGAGCCACGCACACCCAUGCCUCGAGCUCCCCGUGAGGAAAGCUCAGAUUCCACUCAUUUCUCAGCAAAAAGACAGCGUGAUAGAAAAUCACAGUUGUCAAGUUCUAUGCGCGCAAGACUAGGCCCACAAGAGCCUGGGAGAUCAAGGCCACCAGCAGCCACAACCCGGGCGCCACGCCCCGAUCCUAUGAUCGCUCCCAUGGUGCAGAACGUACCUCCGCAUCGUGACCCCAUGGUCACCCCAGCGAUGCGGAACGUUCACUCACACCUAGCGGAACGACCAGCUGGGAGAAACCUUCCAAACGAGCCACCCAUUGGCUCCAUCAGCAAAAGGCUGGAUGACAUGCUCUCCACGCCCUUUUGCUCUCAUAUCACUCAUUACGAACCCCCAAGGGGAUUCCUCGUACCGAAGUUUUCCACAUAUGAUGGGACCAACGACCCCUUCGAUCACAUCAUGCACUAUCGACAGCUUAUGACGCUCGAUAUUGGNNNNNNNNNNNNNNNNNNNNNNNNNNNNNNNNNNNNNNNNNNNNNNNNNNNNNNNNNNNNNNNNNNNNNNNNNNNNNNNNNNNNNNNNNNNNNNNNNNNNNNNNNNNNNNNNNNNNNNNNNNNNNNNNNNNNNNNNNNNNNNNNNNCAUGCACUAUCGACAGCUUAUGACGCUCGAUAUUGGCAACGAUGCAUUGUUAUGCAAAGUAUUCCCCGCCAGCCUUCAAGGGCAGGCCCUCUCAUGGUUUCAUCGCCUACCUCCUAACUCUAUUGACAAUUUCAGGGACCUCUCUGAAGCAUUCGUGGGACAGUACUUGUGCUCUGCUCGACACAAGCAGAAUAUCAGCACCCUCCAGAACAUAAAAAUGAGAGACAACGAAUCAUUGAGGGAAUUUGUGAAACGAUUUGGCCAAGCCGUACUCCAAAUAGAGGUUUGCAGCAUGGAUGCU